This 72740-nucleotide long non-coding RNA is filed under the name Brachypodium distachyon (stiff brome). RNAcentral describes it as "long non-coding RNA (BDIS_LNC000730)". The stretch from base 55172 to 55287 matches the Rfam family "MIR5070 microRNA precursor family". The record is from RNAcentral. Lineage: Eukaryota; Viridiplantae; Streptophyta; Magnoliopsida; Poales; Poaceae.
GGGGCCAGAUCCGUUGGAAAGAUCUUGUUUUGCUUGAUUUGGACUCGGGAUGCGGCCUGGGUGAUUAAAACAAAUUCGGGUCUCCUGACAGCUCGGACCCGAAUCGGAUUCAAUUUUAGUUCAUAAUAUCUUUCUCUAGCAAGCUCCGAAUCAUGUGGCGUUUGAUUUGUUUGAAAGUAGACUUGAUAGGCUUCACUUUGAAUCUCCCUUUGCAGGCUAUCACACUUCAUCUUCACUUUGGACUUGUAAAGUUCAAUAAGAUGCCUACAUAAUAAGAUUACACAAGAUAGUAGCUCCGCCUCUUUGCAAGUAACAUAUUGGAAACAUUUUGUAAUUGAAUUCACCUGGUUAUAAUUGUUAUUAGAUACACCAACAAUUAGUGUUCUAAUUAUCGUAUCCAUGGUCACCAUGGAUACGACCAUUAAUAUGAUAUGGACCAUGCCUAGCGAGUCCGAUUUGGCCGAAUUGUCUGUCCUAAUGAGGGACCAUGCCUAGCGAGUCCCAACAAGUGGUCUAGUCCUUUUUCGCUUUGAUGAGUAGCUUUCGUUUGGGGUGCUCAUCUAGUAACGCCAAACGGACCCAUUUCGGAUCAAAGUUUAGCACCAAGUCCGAUUUGGCCGAAUUGUCCAUCCUAGUGAGGAACCAUGCCUAGCGAGUUCCUACAAGUGGUCUAUUCUUGUUUUGCUUCCAUGAAUAACUUUGUUUGGUGUGCUCAUCCUAGUACCUCAAAUGGACAUGUUCCGGAUCAAAGUGUAGUAUCGACUUUGAUUUGGCUGGAUUGUCCGUUCUAGUGAGAGGCCAUGGCUAGUGAGUCCCUACAAGUGGUCUAGUAUUGUUUCGGUAAGACGAGUAGCUUUUGUUUGGUGUGCUCAUCUUAGAACGCCAAACGGACCCAUUCCGGAUCAAAGUUUAGCACCGACUGCGAUUUGGCUGCAUUGUCCGUCCUUGUGAGGGAACAUGCCUAGCGAGUCCCUACAAGUGGUCUAGUCUUGUUUCGCUUCGAUGAGUAGCUUUGUUUGGUGGGCUCAUCCUUGUACCUCAAAUGGACACGUUCUGGAUCAAAGUUUAGCACCGACUCCGAUUUGGCCGUAUUAUCCGCCCCAGUGAGGGACCAUGCCUAGCGAGUCCCUACAAGUGGUCUAGUCUUGUUUCGCUUCGAUGAGUAGCUUUGUUUGGUGGGCUCAUCCUAGUACCUCAAAUGAACACGUUCUGGAUCAAAGUUUAGCACCGAAUCCGAUUUGGCCGCAUUGUCCGCCCCAGUGAGGAACCAUGCCUAGCGAGUCUCUACAAGUGGUCUAGUCAUGUAUUGCUUCGAUGAGUAGCUUUGUUUGGUGGGCUCAUCCUAAUACCUCAAAUAGACAAGUUCUGGAUAAAAGUUUAGCACAGACUCCGAUUUGGCCGAACUGUCCGUCCUACUGAGGGACCAAGCCUAGCGAGUCCGUACAAGUGGUCUAGUCUUGUUUCGCUUCGAUGAGGAGGUUUGUUUGGUGUGCUCAUCCUAGUACCUCAAAUGGACACUUCCGGAACAAAGUUUAGCACCGACUCCGAUUUGGCCGCAUUGUCCGUCCUAGUGAGGGACCAUCCCUAGUGAGUUCCUAGUAGUGGUCUAGUCUUGUUUUCGCUUCGAUGAGUAGCUUUAUAUGGUGUGGUCAUCCUAGUACAUCAAACGGGCAAGUUCCCGAUAAAAGUUUAGCACCGACACCGAUUUUGCCGCAUUGUCCGUCCUAGUGAGGGACCAUGCCUAGCGAGUCCGUACAAGUGGUCCUAUCUUGUUUCGUUUCGAUGAGUAGCUUUGUUUGGUGCGCUCGUCCUACUACCUCAAAUGGACACGUUCUGGAUCAAAGUUUAGCACGGACUCCGAUUUGGCCGAACUGUCCGUCCUACUGAGGGACCAUGACUAGCGAGUCCGUACUAGUGGUCUAGUUUUUUUCGCUUAGAUGAGUAGUUUUGUUUGGUGUUCUCAUCCUAAUACCUCAAAUGGACACGUUCCGGAUCAAAGUUUAGCACCAACUCCAAUUUGGCCGCAUUGUCCGUCCCAGUGAGGAACCAUGCCUAGCGAGUCCCUACAAGUGGUCUAGACUUGUUUUGCUUUGAUGAGUAGGUUUGUUUGGUGUACUCAUCUUAUAACGCCUAACGGACCCGUUCAGGAUCAAAGUUUAGCACCGACUCCGAUUUGGCGGAAUUUUCCGUCCUAGUGAGGGAACAUGCCUAGCGAGUCCCUACAAGUGGUGUAGUCUUGUUUCGCUUCGAUGAGUAGCUUUGUUUGGUGGGGUCAUCCCCGUACCUCCAAUGGACACGUUCUGCAUCAAAGUUUAGCACCGACUCUGAUUUGGCUGAAUUUUCCGUAAGUGAGGGAACAUGCCUAGCGAGUCCCUAUAAGUGGUCUAGUCUUUUUUUGCUUCGACGAGUAGCUUUGUUUGGUGGGCUCAUCCUAGUACCUAAAAUGGACACGUUCGGGAUCAAAGUUUAGCACAGACUCCGAUUUGGCUGAACUGUCCGUCCUAUUGAGGGACCAAGCCUAGCGAGUCCCUACAAGUGGUCUAGUCUUGUUUCGCUUCCAUGAGUAGCGUUGUUUGGUGUGCUCAUCCUAGUACCUCAAAUGGACAUGUUCCGGAUCAAAGUUUAGCACCGACACCGAUUUGGCCGACCUGUCCGUCCUAGUGAGGGACCAUGCCUAGCGAGUUUCUACAAGUGGUCUAGUCUUUUUUCGCUUCGAUGAGUAGCUUUGUUUGGUGUGCUCAUCCUAAUACCUUAAAUGGACACGUUCCGGAUCAAAGUUUCGACUCGUGCUGACCGUGGCGGACAAAACAAGCGGACGGAUCUGUUUUUCUGUUUCCUAAAGAGUUGUAGUUUGUUAGGAAAGUUAGAGAUAGAGUUGGAUUUCGACCUCCUUACUCAAGGUGGACGAAAAUAUCUCUCCCUCCUCCUUUAUAUACCCCAUGAGCCCCCCUAAGGAGCCUUGGGUUUUGAUUAGAUAAAGUUUAGCCAUCUUUGCUACUUUCGUGUAAUCGCGUGUGUCGGUUAGACCACCUGUUUUACCGUCGUCAAGACUCCAACUUAUCGUCUCGUUGAGACAUUGGUUUGAUAUAGUAUACUCGCAAUUUUAGAUUGCAUCCGCUAUUUAUCUUAUUCUUGCUUGUUCUUCCAUUGCUUGCAGGAACAAAGACCUUCGUGGUCAGGUUGAUAGUGCCCCCGCGUGAUCAAUAACUCUCUGGAGUUGGUGUAUCGAUUGCUAAGGCGCUGCCUCCUAGGCCGUAGUCGGAUCGUCAACGUCACCUCCUACCCAAAUCGAGAGUUACCAAUCUCAUCGAAAAUCGGGCCACCCCGCACCCACAUCAGGAGGGGGCCCAGCGGGCAGAGCAACAGCGCCACGUGACCGCGUGACGGGCGUCGAGUGCGCAGUCUCGGCAGGACGAGGAGUGAAGCGCACGGCGCAUUUAAUGAGCCGACAGGAGGGAAGUUACCCGUCUAGUCGGGUAAACAGUGACUGUCCAGGGCUAGUUCGUAGGCCUUAGGCCCUUAGCUGAGGAGUUGGCACUCAUGCAUGCCACCAGCGCACCGAGGGGGAGUUGCCAUGUCUCCCUGCUCGCCACUUGUAAUGCAUGCACCGUGUCACCUGUGGUAUCCCCUUGGUUAUAAAAGGAGGAUUCCCGCCAACGGUCAAAGGGUUUCACAUUUUUCUACGGUUCGACGAUCACACGGUUGGACGGACUCAUAGUUCGCCACUAGCAGUAUCCUGAAGUAGCCAAGAGCACUUAGGCAAAAAAAGGCACUCGGGGACUCUCCCCCCGGCAACGUUUAAACCUUUGAUUUACAGUCAAUACCAGUUCAGACAAGCAGGACGUAGGGUUUUACACCUCCUGGUGGCCCGAACCUGGGUAAAAAACGUGCGUGCAUGUGUCAUUAGCCUGCGUGUAUUCUGGGUACAUCACUUCGCAGGUUACGUGCGCCAUCGGCCUCGCCGGCGAUCGCCGGAGCGAUCCCUGACGCCCCUGCUGAACCUAAAAAGGGGGCGUGGCCGCACGCCCCCGGUGUCGGAGCCCCGUGCGACGACAUCUGGCGCGCCAGGUAGGGGGCGCGAGAGAAGAGCUCGCCGGUGACCGCCGGCAGCAGUGUUUGCAUCAACGUCGGCCUCGUCUUCUUCGCCGACGGGACCGGCUACCAUGCCCCGCAAGCGGGCUGGUGACCCUCGGAUAGCCACGCGUGAGGCCCCAACGGCACACACGCGGUCGUCAGUGCCACCCGCGUCGGGGGCUCAGGAGGACCCAGAGCCCUUGCGAGUGCAGCAGUCGUAGCUGCCUCCUCCGCCCCCUCGGCCGUUGGCAGAUAACCGGCUGAGGGAACCGGCGGCUCCUAGCGCCGGGGCCAGCCGGGCGAGCGGGCAUGGUGCCGCCCGCGCUGGCCAGCGAGUCGAGUCGCGGGCUGAUGACACGCAGCGACAGCGGCACCAUGAGCAUACCACGUCAGGAGCGACGCCCGAGGGCUCACACCCCGCGCACUUGGAGGCGUCCGGGGCCAUAGUGGACCGCAGCCGCUCGGGAAAUCGGCUGCCCCCCGCACGAACCCCGGCGAAAGCCAUCAUCGCCGCGCGGGUCAUGGUGCGGUAUGAACCGCAGCAAGGCAUGCCGACGCACGAGACGUGGGGCGAGGAGUUGGACGCGCUCCUCGCUCUGGCCGCCCAGCAGCCGCAAGGCGAGGGUGUCCCGAUAGGCUCCAGCCACGGGCAGAACCCAGAGCGCGGAGACGCGCCCCCCGCCUCACGACAGGGGGAGAACCCUCCCCCGCAGGGAGGCCAGGGAAACGGGGACCCGGAGGGGUCCUCGGACUCGUCACCCACUGUCACGCGGGGCGACGCGCGCGGCAUUCUAAAUGCCCGGCAGCAAGAGGAUCUGCGCCAGCGCCUGGAGCGCCGCCGUCGGCGCAAGGUAGAGCGCUCGCGCCCGGAGGAGCAGGAGGAUGCUCCUAUGGGCCCCGAGGACGGUUGCGCCGCGUUCACGCGCGAGCUGCGCCGGGUGACGUGGCCCCGCAAGUUCCGAGCGCCAGCGCUCGGCGCAUACGACAGGACCGUGAAUCCCAAGGAUUUCCUCUUGACCAACACGUUGGGGAUGCAUGCCAUCGGCGCUGACGACAAGGUCAGGGCCAACUGGUUCCCAAUGGUUCUGAAAGGAUCAGCGAGAACCUGGCUGCUCCACCUGCCCGCCGGGUCCAUCGCCACUUGGCGGACCUGCGCGAACAGUUUGUGAGCGCGUUCCAGGGCGGCUACAAGCGCCCAGGAACCAUGGCGGAACUGCACACCAUCGUGCAGAAGCUGAGAGAGACGUUGUGGAGCUUGAUCAACCGCUUCUCCAUCCUCUCCUACUCUAUCCCGGGGGCGGAGGCAGCCGCCAUCGUCAACGCCUUCGCCAUCAACGUCCGCGACCCCAAAAUGCGCGAGAAGCUGAGCACGCAUCGGAUCUGGACGACGCAGGAUCUAUACACCCUGGCGCACAAGUGUGCCAUGGCUGAGGAAGGGCGCUCAGAGCCCCGGCGAGGGUUCACAAAAGAAGGGUUCCCGCAAGCACAGCGGAAAGUAGGUUCUCGCUGCAGACUCGGGGGCUCCUGUCGCGAGGCCUGCAAAGAAGGCCUCACUGGGUGGUGGGUCUGGCGGCAAGCAGGGUGAUGCGCCCCGCUGCCCCAUCCACAACAACUCCACCCACGACGCGCAGGACUGUCGCAUCCUACAGGGGAUCAGGCAACGCCAUGAGGAGCGCCGCGCUGCUGGCGCUUGCUUCAACUGCGGCGACAUCGGGCAUCACUCCUGAGAUUGCCCGAACGAUCCCAGAGCAGGGCCGAGGCAUGCCGGUGGCGCUGCCGACAGAGACGAACCCCAGGGGGGACGCAACAGGGCUCGCGCUGAGGAGCAGCACGAGUCCGACUGCACUGGUGGCGACGAGCUGGGCUUCCAGGAGCCUCGCGGCGUCGCCUGUAUCCAUAGGGGAGCCUAUGCUCUCCCAUCCCAUGCCACGGUGAAGCGCCUCACCCGCGACAUGUGCGUGCUGUUGCCGGACACGGAGCCGCAACAGACGCUGAGGUGGUCACAUGUGCCGAGCACCUUCAGCGCGGAUGAUCACCCAGCGCGGUAGCUGGGUUCAGGGGUAAUACCCUUCGUUGUUUCACUGAUCAUCAGCAAUAUGACGGUGACCAAGGUACUGGUGGACAACGGAGCAGGGCUUAACCUCCUGUCCGCCAGGCUGGUGGAGAAACUCCAGCUGCCAGUGGAGCAGCUGAAGCCCACCGACCCGUUCCGGGGGGUAAACCCCGGGAUCGUGCGCCCACUAGGGCGCAUCACGCUGCCGGUAACCUUCGGGUCCCGAGAAGCGUUCAGUACCGAGCACAUAGUGUUCGACGUGGCACACACCCCGUUGCCUUACAACGGGAUCCUUGGUCGGCCAGCGCUGAUCAAGUUCAUGGCGGCUACGCAUUGCGCCUAUGGCGUGAUGAAGAUGCCGUCCGUAUAUGGAGUUCUCUCCAUCAGGUGCGACCUCAAGGACGCGGCCUGGUGCGUUGGCGAGGUCGUUAGGGCCGCCGCCGCGGCUGACACCGGCGACGAAGACGUUGCCAGAGACGACAGCUCGCCGGGCGAUGCCCCGGCAAUGAAGAAGGCCAGCGCUACCCCGCAAGAGCUUGCCGGGGGAAGCGCAGGCUCGAGCUCGUGCCCCGGCAAGGGACAGAAGCUCCGGGAGGAGGCCGCCAAGGUGAAGAAGCUGCUCCUCCAAGCCGGCAACAUGGAACGCACCGUCACCGUCGGUGCGAACCUUCCUCCGGGAUAACGCCAACGUGUUCGCUUGGGAACCGUCGGAUCUUCCCGGAGUCCCCAGGGAGGUGAUUGAGCAUUGGCUCGCAGUGCACCCGGACGCGCGCCCCGUCAAGGAGAAGAUUCGGCGGCAAGCAGAUGAGCGUAAAGAUUUCAUCAAGCAGGAGGUGGUCAGCUCAGUGCUGGUUGCCGAGAGGGACGAAGAUGUUCCAGGGACUGAGGCUGUGGGGCAGGGGGCGGAGCGGCCCCCAGCAGCCGCCUCAGACCCAGGGACCACCCCCGAGCCGGCAGCUCCUGCACCGCGUAAGCGAAUAGUGCAGCACUCGGUGUACUUCGUCAGCACGGUGAUGCGCGACGCGCGCACGAGGUACCCGCAAGUGCAAAAGCUCCUCUUGGGGAUUCUUCUUGCGUCCCGCAAGCUGCGCCAUUACUUCUAGGCGCACCGCAUCACGGUGGUGUCGGGGUUUUGUGUCGAGCGAGCCCUCACCAACCGCGAAGCCACCGGGAGGGUGGCCGAAUGGAGGAUGGAGUUGUCGGAGUUUGACCUCCACUUCACCAACUCCAAGAGCAUCAAGAGUACGGCCUUGGUGGACUUCGUCGCUGAGUGGACGUCGACGAGCGUGAGAGAGGAUGAGCCGGAGACCAGCCUACCCGGCAAGCUGGACGAGGACCAUCGGGUCCUCUACUUCGACGGCGCGUUCAGCCUCCAAGGAGCUGGCGCCGGGGUCGUCAUCGAGUCACCGACAGGGGAUCAGCUGAGGUUUGUUGUCCAGCUCGAUUUCCCGAACUCCACCAACAACACGGCGGAGUACCAGGGUUUGCUCGCCGGGUUACGGGCAGCGAUCGCCCUCGACAUCAAGCGCCUGGUUGUUCGUGGGGGCUCUCAGCUCGUGAUCAACCAGGUGAACAAGGACUACGACUGCCCACAGAUGGCGCCGUACAUGGAGGAAGUCCGCAGGCUGGAACGUAAGUUCAAAGGUUUGCGAUUCGAGCACGUCAAGCGAAAGGAUAACUUCGCUGCUGACGAGAUAGCCAAGAUGGCAGCGGAGCGCCGGAAGCCUCCGACGGGAGUGUUCUGCCAGAAGCAGGCGGUUCCUUCAGUCGCCCCCGAGCCUACUGCCGGGGACGCCCCUCCAGCAACCGAAGGAACGCCUGCAACAGCAGGGGUCCAUGCCGCUGACAUAGCGGCAUGCGUUGGCAAGGAGACCCCUCCCUGGGCGGUGGAAAUCGCCUGCUACUUGAAGGAGGAGGCUCUCCCGGAAGAUGACGUUGCCGCAGAGCGAGUAGCGCGGCAAGCAAAAAUGUACACUGUGGUGGAUGGAAACCUCUAUCGCAGACGUGCAAACGGGGCAAGCUCAUAUGCGUGCCGCAAGACGAAGGGCGUGAGCUGCUGGAGGAGAUACACCGAGGCACAUGCUCACACCAUGUGGUCUCUCGGGGUUUAGCUGGCAAGGCGUUUCGGCACGGUUUCUACUGGCCCUCGGCCCUGGCCGACGCGGAGCGGCUGGUGAAGACGUGCGAAGCAUGCCAGUUCCACUCGAAGAAGAGCAACCAGCCAGCGCAGGCCCUACACGUCAUCCCUUCCUCGUGGCCGUUCGCAGUCUGGGGGCUCGAUAUCGUCGGCAAGCUACCGAGGGCAGUUGGUGGUUACGAAUAUUUGUUCGUGGCUGUCGACAAGUUUUCCAAGUGGGUGGAAGUGGAACCAGUGCGGAAGGUGACCGCCCAGGUGGCCAUCAAGUUUUUCAAGAGCAUUGUGUGCCGGUUUGGUGUGCCUAACGGCAUCAUCACCGACAACGGCACGCAAUUCACGAGCGCAGUGUUCCAGGCCUACUGUGAGGGCAUGGGCACCAAGUUGCACUUCGCGUCCGUUGCUCAUCCGAGAAGUAACAGGCAGGCGGAGCGAGCCAACGCAGAAGUGCUGCGGGGACUCAAGACGAGAACCUUUGACAAGCUCAAAGGCCACGAGAAACACUGGGUUGAAGAACUCCAGCCCGUGUUGUGGUCAAUCAGGACCACACCUAGUCGGGCAACGAGCGAAACUCCUUUCGCCCUUGUCUACGGGGUAGAAGCGGUGCUGCCCCUCGAGCUCAAGCAGGGAUCUCCCCGAGUACGCGCGUACGGCAACACCAGCCAACACGAGCAAAGGGUCGACGAUCUAAACUUCAUCGAAGAGCUUCGAUGCCGGGUUGCUGUGCGAGCCACGCGCUAUCAGCAAGGACUAACUCGUUAUCACGACAAGCAAGUCCAUUCCCGGGGACUCGAGAACGGAGACCUUGUCCUGCGCCGGAUACAAGGAACGAAGGCCGGGAACAAGUUGACUCCGAAAUGGGAGGGGCCCUUCCGGGUAGUGCAGGUGACCAGACCGGGGGCUGUCCGGCUGGAAACCGAAGACGGCUUGCCGGUGCCAAAUAGCUGGAAUAUUGAGCACUUGCGCAAGUUCUACCCGUGAAGCGGCGGAGCCCAACCCUCGGGGGAUGCCGCCGAUGCAUACCUCUCGAACUAGUGUAGCCGGGAAGGCCCCGUGUGUAAACCACUAGUUAUUGUGAAUAAAGAUAAGUGUUUCUUUCCUGAACUUCAAAGUUGCCUUGCUUAUUUGUGUGUUCCUCCCUUCUUCUGUCUUCUGCUUUUGGUGCACGAAAGUGUCUUUCCAUACUUGGUUGUGAGCAGGGGGCUGUUGGAGCCUCGAAAGCAAAAACCCCGUUGCCGGAUCACUCCGCCACGGGGCAUGCAGUCAUUGGGUUAACCGCGACGUGCAUCAGGGGACAUGCAGUUGCUGGGUUCCCCGCAACGUGCAUCACGGGACGUGUAGUUGCUGGGCUCCCCGCAACAUGCACCUCGGCUGGGAAAUGGAGUGCUCACAUCCAAGUUUGGCAUCAACCCUUCCGUGCCCGGGGGCUGGGAGGCAGGCGAUUACUCGUGUUGCUUUAUGUAUUUUCGUGAAUUUCGAAAAAAAAUUGCAGCACCUCGGGCCUGGUAAGUGUCUAAUCUGCAGGAAAAGGUGGAAUCUUACGCACUGUAAUACCCGUGGGCUGCCCACGGGUCGCGGCAUGUAGCAGUGCCUUGUGGUGCGGGACGACUGCAACAUGAGGGACUCACCGCACUCCGAGGCUCUCGACCCAGGAGGGGGCCGCCACGUGUGCCACAGCCACUUGGCAUGCAGGGUGGAGAAGACUACACCACAUUUCAAGGGGAGGGAUGCCACGGGUGCUGCACUGAUUCGUUGCGCGCGGUGGCAAGCCCUUCCCCCGCGCCUAUAAAAAGCGCGCUCCAGCCAUGGAACGGCUCAGAGCAGAGCCAAGAGAGGGGUUGUUAAGGCGGGCGGUGCCGCGGAGGCGUGAUGGUGGUGCAUAACAUCCGCGCCUGGCGCCGACGGGUGCACUGCCAUCGCGCCCUUGCCACAUCGCCCCAUCAAGCCCACUCCGAGGGGCGUCGCAGAGGCACGGUGGCGGUGCAUGCAGUCAGCGCUCCGUGCCGACAGGUGCACGGCCACCGUGCCCUUGCUGCGCCUCCUCUAGCGAGCGGCUCCUGGGCGAGGGCUGCCGUGGAGGCACUGUGGUGGUGCAUUCCAUCGGCGCCCGGCGCCGACGGGUGCACGAUCGCAGUGCCCCUGCCGCAUCCCUCCAGAGGACACCUCCGCAAGGAGCAGGGGAUGCCGCGGAGACACCAUGGUGGUGCAUGCCAUUGGCACCCCGCGCCGACGGGUGCACCACCAUAGUGUCCCUACCCCGUUUCCCUAAGAGAGGGCCACUAUAGGCGGGGGUCAUCGCGAGGACACUGUGAUGGCGCCGGGGCCGGCGUUUGCCGUCCGUUCCGGCCCAUCACCGCGUCCUUGCCACGGCCCUCGAGCAGUUUUGCUCCCAGGCAGCGAGGGCUGCUGCGGGAACAUCGUGGCGUCCUUGUUGCCCGCUUUCGGCGGUGGUGGCGAGGAAGCCACGAUGUCCCUGUUGCGGCCCUCAGAAGGGUUUUUCCCAAGCAGCGAGGGCUGCUGUGGGGACGCCGCGACGUCCUCGUCGCCCGCGGACAGCGGCGCUGCCAAGGAAGUCACGGCGUCCCUGCCGCACCCCUCGGAAAAGGCUCCUUCGAGGACGAGGGUUGCCGCGGCGUCCCCGCUGCUUCCCUUUAUCAGGCACUUUGCAGGGACGGCGAGCCAGGAGUGCACCUCCGGCGAACACUCCGGGCGCAAGACUGAACGAAAAGCUAAGUGCUGACACCUAAAUGGCAAACCCAAUAAGAACUAAACGUAAUUGAACGCUGCUUCGCCAGGUGUGGCCCCGGAACCUGCGCGUGGCUGGAGUGUUAGAAAGACGCUUGCGGGGGGAGUGCGCUCCCCGUGUGGCUUCCUGGGUCCGUCCCGAAAGGGCAUGGCUUGGAGUAGUUACCCCGCAAGUGGAGUGGCUCCCCCGCUACCGCUUGACCCCAGGUCGGCACUGCGGGUCCGUCCCGGGUCUGGUCAAGGGUGAGGUGCGUGAGUCCCCCGCAACACAAGGCGAAACACGCAAAGGCUAAAGGAGCCGCCCCGCGAGGCAGCCCUGGGAACAAGGGACAAGAAUUAAGCAAAUUAAAGAGCUUGAUUAACUAAGUGUUGAACGGUUACAUAAGCUAAUGGAAAAACAAUUGUUCAAACGGCGCCAAGCGCCACACUUGCAGGAAAAAGCGAACGAAAGAAGAUACAUCGGGAAGCGGCAAGGACUGGGAGCCACGGCAACUAGUUGCCGGCGUCUUCUGCCGGGCGCUCCAGGGACGGCUCGGGGUCAGGCUUCCGCUGCAUCCGCUCGACCACCUCGUCGACGAACCCGCGCACCGCCUGGGUGUGCAUGGGCUCAUCCUCGCUGUCCGACCAGGCGUCUAGCAGGGACUCGAAGGAAAACUCCGGGUCCCGGAGGUGUAUCCUCGAGAGGAUUGUCCCGGCAACCUCCCGGGCGCAGUUCGCGACCUUGUUGGCGCCGAACUGGGCGAUCCAGACGUCGAGAGCCCCAAGCUUCCCCACCAGGUCGGAGAAGAAGGGGAUCAAGGUGGAGACGUCUGUGCCGUCCACCGCCGCGCCCUGCAGCUCGAACCGGGGUAGCAAGUCGCGCAGCGCCUAGGCGAUCUUUAGCAACUUCUCGGUCUAUAUAUGCCGCUGCCCGAUCAGUGUGCCAUGGUGGAGCCGGGCAUCAUGCGUGGCCUUCUUGGCCUUGCGGAGGUUGUCCCCCAACGCCGCGAGCUCCGCGGUCUUUACCACGAUGUCGUCGCCAGCCUUGGCAAGCUCUUCCCGGACUGCGGCCAGCUCGGUUUCGAGCCUGCCCAUCCUGUCCUUGGCGGAGCCAAGCUGGAUCUCGUGCCGAGCUGCUGCUCCUACCGCGUCCUCGGUGGCCUUGAUCUGCACCGCCAGCUUGAUGUUAAGACCCUGAAUCUCGCCGCGAUAAUUGGCGAUCAGGUCACUCUUCUCGUCCAGCCGGGCCUGGGCUGCUGCGAGCACCCCGGCGUGCUCCUUCUUGGUCACCUCGAGGGUUGCCGCUAGCGAGUCCAGCUCCCCCUGAAGCUCCGAGCGCUGGGCCUCCAGCUGCCAGUGGAGUUCAGCCUCUGGGACGACCGGUUCCUCGGCGUCCUCCAGGGCUUGCCGGGCAAGACGCGCCUCCUCCCUGGCGAGGCGCGUCUCCUCUCGCAGCCGGGAGAGCUCUUGACGUUCCCUCUCCACGGCUUCCCGCACCUCGCCAAGUUGGCUCUUGGCAACGGCGUGGUGCUCCCUCACCUCGUUGAAAGAGGUGACGAAGCCUUGUUGUUCGUCCCUGAUGGCUUCCAGGAACUGGUGCCCCCGCUCAAAGAUGCUAGGAUCCCAGGUGAUGGGAUUCCAAGCCAGCCCGGCGAGGGUGCCGAGGUCGGAGUUAGGGGGGCAGCCGAGGACGACGAAGCCCCCGCUGCCAUUGUAGGGCUGUGCGGGGGGUCACCCGCUUGCUCCUGGGGAUCCUGUCGUCCUUCCCCGGCAGCUCCCCCUUCACCCGCGCCAGGGGACCCUGCGGCUGGAAAAGCCUUCCUGCCCCCGGCAGGAGCCGUUCCCUGCAGGGCUGUAGGCGAAUCCACGCCAACCGCAUCCGCAGCUGCUGGCGCGUCGCCAAGCACAGUCCCAGUGGUGACGGUGGCCACCAUUGCCGCUGUCGCUGGCACGGCAGGGCUUGGUGCGGGAGCCGGUGCCGGCUCCGCCGCCCCCGUGAUCUCAACGUUAGGGUCAAGAUCAACCACGGUAGUGCUCGCUCCGGGUGCGGGCGUGCUCGUGCCUACAGCAAUAAGGAGUGUGAGGAUCGACAAGGAAAAGAGCUAUCGGAAGCGGACAAGGGUGGCCGGGGCGGUUACCCUGCAAGGCAGAUGGACUUACGAGGGGGGCUUCCCCCGCCUCACCUGUGCCGGUGGGAGCCUCCGAGAGGCUUGCCGCGGGCGAGCUGCCGCUUGCUGAAAAAGCAAGUACGUUUGUAUGGUUAACUAACAACUGAAAAAUGCAGCAAAGGAGGAGCAAAGGAGCCGUACCAGUUGCCGGCCCCACCCCCGUUGGGGCUGGGUCGUCGGCGGGCGCGAUAACGGUGCCACUAGCCCCUGUGUCAGUCGGGUCAGCGGCGCCGCCGGCGUCCGCGCGAGCUCUCUUGUCCGGCAUGGCGGGCGGGGAGUCGCUCCUCCCCCUUUUGCUGGCACCCGCCGGCGAGUUGGACCUCGGGGGGUUGCGCCAGAGCGCGAAGCCCCGAAAGACCCCCCGAGCGGGCGGCACCUACUGGGUCACCGCAGCCCGGGGCGUCGCGGGAGUCGGGGGCGAAGCCGCCGCGGAGUCAGGGGCUGACGAUGGGGAGGCUGCCAACGCAUCCCCGGCAGUAGUCGCUGCCGAGGCCGUUGCUGGGUCGCUAAUGGUCCCCGCCAAGGCAUUGGCAGGUGCCAUCGGAGCAGCUGCCGCCGCGGUGCUGGCGGACCGCGGCGGCAGCUGCUAGGGCGGAUGUUACCGUUGUGGCUCCGGCGACCCCCACGGACGUGUGCGCUGCCGAGGUACCGGCAGGCGCCCCUGAGUGGACGCCGCCGCAGUGCUGGUGGCCGCCGCUGGGGCGGAUGUUGCCGCCGAGGCUCCGGCGACCCCUGCGGACGCGGUCGCCACCGAAGUACCGACAGGCGCCCCUAAAGCGGCGGCCGCCGCGGGGCUGGCGGCCGCUGUCGGGGCAGAUGCCGCCGCUGAGGAGAUAGCCGCGGCCGCGGCGUACGCCCUCGAUCUCCGAACGAUCAGGGGCGCAGUGUCGCUGUCCUCGUCGUCGUCGUCCACGGGGACGACUUCCGGGGACGCUGCAGCCUGGCCCGCCUCGUCAUCCAGGGACUGGAGGGAGGUCCAGCUGAUCUCUGAUUCGCCCCCGCUCUCCUCGAGCACCUGCUUCCCGUGAGGUGUUGGCAGGGGAGCGCGGGGGGUCCGGGUGGGGGUAUCGUCCAUCAACCCCCACUCAUUGCAGGGCGGGAAGGCGGCGACGAUGUCGUUGAGCGCCGCAACGCCGGCAUGGAGGGAAAAGACACCUGGUGGGAACCUCGUUGAUUGGAAGGUUUCGCCGGAGAUUCCCCUCACCCACGUCUUGAGGGUUUCCAAAUCCACGCCGUCCUGAUGGAGGCGCGUCCUGUCCCCGGGACCCGUGUACAUCCACGCGGGCCAGGAGCGCAGUUGAAGCGGCGCAAUGCGCCGGUUGAUGAAGGCAGGCGCCACAUCCACAUCGGUGAGCCCUGCUAGCCGCAGCGCCUUAAUUUUCUCCACGAUGGGGAGGAGAUCGGCGUCGCGGAUGAACUCUUGGGGGUCUUCCACUCGGACCCAGCACCAAUCGCCCCGCCACUCCUCCUCAAUCUUCUUCCCCAACUGGGUGAUGAACUCGGACUUCAUCUGGUCACGGGCGCGGAAUACCACCCCCGACGACAUUGCUUUCGUGUUGUCGAGCCGGGGGUAGAAAUAGUGGCGGAAGAGCGCCACCGACGGCAUCACCCCCACGAAUGCUUUGUAGAGGAAUUGGAAGGUGGCGAGAAGGAACAGCGAUGUGGGGUGGAGCUGCGCCACCUGCAGCUGGUACGACUCCAUCAGCGCGUGGAGGAACAGCGAGAAUGGCGGCAACAGCCCGGUGAGCAGGAAGCGCCCAAACACCCGAAAGUCAUUGUCCUAGUGCUCGGCGCCCGUCGGGAAGAUCAGGGUCUCCCCGUGCUCGUUGAACUUGGAGGCGACGGCAUGCCGGACCUUGUCCAGCGCCUCGCCAUUGUAGCCAGGCCGGUAGAAGGCGAGCGUGGCCCGCAUCUCCCGCUUCCUCCGGUCUUUGUCGGCGGCUGCCUUGGUCGCCACCUCGCUCCUGCUGACCGCCGCUCUCUUCGAGACCUGCGCCUCUUUUCCCUUCCUGGUGGUGGGGGGGCGCCAUGGGGAGCAGGGGUGGAAGCUAGCAAGAACACUUGGGUGCGAGAUGCGAAGGAGGGUGAAGGCGAAGGCUGUGGGAAGCAGAGUGUUUUCCCCUUUUGGCAACAGUAAGAGCUUUAUAGCGCCCGGCCGUUUGGUAACGGCCGGUUCCAUACCCUACGGGUGCGCGGGGAUAACUCCUAAUAAAAAGGGGUAAUGCAGGGAGUGGCCUUAACUUUCCUGUUUAAGGGGGAGGUUAGGGCGGAAAUCACGCGCCCACUACUCCGUCUGUAACGGCGUGGUGUUAGGGGCAGCAAAGGGAUGCGGGCCCGAGGCGGAUCGGGGCCCACGCGUCGGUUGUGGGCGUAGCCCGGCAACCGACCUGGGGGAAAGCUCGUCCGGGGACAGGUGAUGCCGGCCCACGCCCGGGGGCUACUGUCGCACCAGUGGCACUCGGGGUACCACCAUUGCGCGACGCGUGGGCUCCAUCUCCAAGUUCCCGGGAGGGUCUCAUCCCGGGCGGCAGCUACGAGCAGCCCGGCAAGCUACCAGUCUGGAAGGGCUAGAGGGGCUUCGGGGAAUAUUCCCGCCUGGACACCUCCGGGAAGCCACUUGCCGGGAGGGGGUUACUGGGCGUGUCAGGCCUGGGUGCCUCCCGGGAGCCCCUUGCCGGGAGGAGGGGUUCCCGGGCGCAAGCUCCUUCCGCAAGGGAGGGGGCCCAGCGGGCAGAGCAACGCGCCACGUGGGCGCGUGACGGGCGUCGAGUGCGCAGUCUCGGCAGGACAAGGAGUGAAGCGCACGGCGCAUUUAAUGAGCCGACAGGAGGGAAGUUACCCGUCUAGUCGGGUAAACAGUGGCUGUCCAGGGCUAGUUCAUAGGCCUUAGGCCCUUAGCUGAGGAGUUGGCACUCAUGCAUGCCACCAGCGCACCGAGGGGAAGUUACUCUGUCUCCCUGCUCGCCACUUGUAAUGCAUGCACCGUGGCACCUAUGGUAUCCCCUUGGUUAUAAAAGGAGGACCCCUGCCAACGGUCAAAGGGUUCCACAUUUUUCUACGGUUCGACGAUCACACGGUUGGAAAGACUCACAGUUCGCCACUAGCAGUAUCCGGAAGUAGCCAAGAGCACUUAGGCAAAAAAAGAACACCCAGGGACUCUCCCCCCGGCAACGUGUAAACCUUUGAUUUACUGUCAAUACCAGUUCAGACAAGGAGGACGUAGGGUUUUACACCUCCUGGUGGCCCGAACCUGGGUAAAAAACGUGCGUGCAUGUGUCAUUAGCCUACGUGUAUUCUGGGUACAUCACUUCGCAGGUUACGUGCGCCAUCGGCCUCGCCAGCGAUCACCGGAGCGAUCCCCGACGCCCCUGCCGAACCUAAAAAGGGGGCGUGGCCGCACGCCCCCAGUGUCGGAGCCCCGUGCGACGACAGUUUAGCACCGACUCCGAUUUGGCCGGAUUGUUCGUCCUACCGAGGGACCAUGCCUAGCAAAUCUGUACAAGUGGUCUCGUCUUGUUUCGCUUCGAUGAGUAGUUUUGUUUGGUGUGCUCAUCCUAGUACAUCAAAUGGACAAGUUCCCGAUCAAAGUUUAGCACCGACACCGAUUUGGCCGAAUUGUCCGUCCUAAUGAGAGACCAUGCUUAGCGAGUCCGUACAAGUGGUCUAGUCUUGUUUCGCUUCGAUGAGUAGCUUUGUUUGGUGUGCUCAUCCUAGUAUCUCAAAUGGACACGUUCCGGAUCAAAGUUUAGCACCGACUCCGAUUUGGCCGAAUUGUCCGUCCUAGUGAGGGUCCAUGCCUAACGAGUCCCUACAAGUGGUCUAGUCUUGUUUCGCUUCGAUGAGUAGCUUUGUUUGGUGUGCCCAUCCUAGUACCUCAAACUGACACGUUCUGGAUCAAAGUUUAGCACCGAUUCCGAUUUGGCCGAACUGUCCGUCCUAGUGAGGGACCAUGCCUAGCGAGUCUCUACAAGUGGUCUAGUCUUGUUUCGCUUCGAUGAGUAGUAUUGUUUGGUGUGCUCAUCCUAGUACCUCAAAUGGACAAGUUCCCGAUCAAAGUUUAGGACCGACACCGAUUUGGCCGGAUUGUCCGUCCAAGUGAGGGACCAUGCCUGGCGAGUCCGUACAAUUGGUCUAGUCUUGUUUCGCUUCGAUGAGUAGCUUUGUUUGGUGUGCUCAUCCUAGUGAGGGACCAUGCCUAGCGAGUCCCUACAAGUGGUCUAAACUUGUUUCACUUGGAUGAUUAUCUUUGUUUGGUGUGCUGAUCCUAGUACCUCAAAAUGGACUUUCUCAGCAUAUCUCUGGCAACCGUUGCAUUUCCUGACCAUAUCUUCUGCCUCUUGUAGUGCACUCGGCCAGUAAAAUCCGUGCUGAAAUGCCUUUGCUACCAACGUUCUUGAGGACGCAUGAUGGCCGCACUCGCCUUGAUGAAUAUCUCGGAGGAUUUCUUGUCCUUCUUCUGGCUCGACGCAACGUUGCAACACGUUGGUGACACCUCUCUUGGAUAGUUCGCAGUUGAUAAUGGUGUACGCCUUCGCUCUUCUCUGAAUCUGCCUUGCCGACACUGCAUCUUCCGGCAGACUUCCAUCUUUGAUGUAUGACAUGAUUGGUUGUGCCCACACCGGCACAAGGUGAGUCAUGAAUACCGGCUCGUUUAUUUCCAUUGGUUCAAUUGCCAUUGCCUCGUCCAAGUUAGGGUGCUCAGUCCCCGGGUUACUGGAACCACUGUCGCUAUCAAUAUCCAUUGGUGUGAAUUUGGCCUCCGGGUUCACCGGAAUAAAUAUCGAUUCCGACUCUGGUGACGGCUUGAUCGAACGCUUGCGCAGAUGUUCCAGCGCUAUGCCGGCCGGAAUGGCCUGCCGCAUUGAUCCCAGCUUCGAUAGAGUGUUGGCUGCUUCAUUCUCCGCUCGGGGUAUGUGAUGGUACUCACAACCUUCAAAGUGACCGCUGAUUUUCUGCACAUGAAAACGAUAUAGCGCCAUAUUGGCAUCCAAUGCAUCCCAAUUGCCAGAGGCUUGCUGGAUCACCAGGUCAGAAUCACCCAACCGACUAACAAAGCGACUUAAUGAUGCUAGGCAUCCGGUUAAUUUUAGUACGUCCUUGAGACAUUUUGGCGGCUUCAUUCUUUCUAUGGCAGCAAUUUUCACAUGAUUUAUUUCUAUGCCUCGGCUUGACACCAGAAAUCCGAGUAACUUUCCAGCCGGCACACCGAAUGUGCACUUGGCCGGGUUUAGUUUCAUCCAGAAUCUUCUUAGAUUUGCAAAUGUUUCUCGGAUAUCAUCUAGGAGUGUGCUGCUCUCUUUGGUUUUUAUGACGACAUCGUCGACAUCCACCUGCACAUUUUUGCCUAGUUGUUCAUGCAAGCAUUUUUGCAUACAUCUCUGAUAGGUAGGCCCUGCAUUUCACAAACCAAAAGGCAUGGUGAGAUAGCAAUAAGCCCCAAACGGGGUGAUAAAUGAUGUCUUUAUUUGAUCAUUAGGGUUCAGUGGUAUCUGGUGAAAACCAGAAUACGCAUCUACAAAAGACAACAAUUCACACCCGGCAGUGGAGUCGAUGGCUUGAUAGAUCCGAGGUAGUGGAAAAGGAUCCUUAGGACAUGCCUUGUUCAGGCUGGUGUAAUCAAUACACAUGCGCCAAACUUUGGUCGUGGUGGUGUCAUCUUUCUUCUUCUCGACCAUGACCGGGUUGGCCAACCAGUCAGGAUGUAAGACUUCCAUGAUAAAGCCGGCAGCUAAAAGCCGAGAUAUCUCUUCCAAUAUGAUCUUCUUUCUGUCAUCGGCGAAGCGUCGAAGGGGUUGCUUCACCGGUCUUGCGUCUGGCCUGACAUGUAGUGAGUGGUCAGCCAACUCCCACCAGGUAGGUCCUGGUUUGACCAUGCAAAGAUGUCCCGGUUCUCACGAAGGAAGUCGGUGAGCUCGCCUUCCUAUUUCUUGGUCAGGCCGGCACCAAUGAUGACGGUGCCGUCCAGGAACUCGCUGUUAACCGGUAUCUUCUUCGUCUCCUUUGCCGCCUGGAAAGCCACACUGCCAUGAGGGUUGGUCAUAGCCAGCAGAGUAGUUUGUGCUGACUGAGCCAGUGCCAUGACUUCCUGCAGCUUCUUCUUCUCUUCGGCAAUGACCAAUGACUCGGCCAAAUCAGAACCCGUAGCUGCACACUCCAUUGAUUGAUUGUAGUUGCUGGAUAUGGUUAUGGUACCAUUUGGUCCUGGCAUCUUCAUCUUUUGGUAGACAAUGUGAGUUCUCGCCAUAAACUUGGCCAAUGCCGGCCUGCCCAGCAACGCGUGAUAUGGGCUGUUGAGAUCAACCACUUCAAACACCAAAUUCUCUGUCUGACAAUUUUCCCUUGUGCCGAUUAAGACAUCUACCCGGACUUUGCUCACUGGCGCACACGACACCCCCGACACGAUACCAUGGAAGGUAGUCCAGCUGGGCUCAAGCAUGUUAUCGGUAAUGCCCAGUUUGAGCAUUGUGUCACGGUAAAUGAUGUUAAUGCAUCUCCCAUUAUCGAUGAGGAGUCAGGUAAACUUGACGUUGAUGUCGGGCCCGAUGAGUGUUGGGUCAACCACUAGAGCGUAUCCGCCGGGAUUCGGCAUGACCCUAGGAUGGUCAGACCGGUUCCAACAGAGCUCCUGCUCCAACCAGUACAUAAACUUCGGCACUGCCGGCAUAACUGCAUUGACUUCCAUCUCAUGCCGACGCUGGCUUUGCUUGUCAGUCUGCUCCGUGACGAAAAUCAUGUAGCUCUGGUGAUGUUCUUUGUACUCAUUUCUUCCUCCAUACUCCGGGAUGCCUUGAUCUUCCACCUGAUUGACAGCGUUGUUCACCGGAAGGGGGCCUUGAAUCUGUGCAUUGGCGCCUAUGAGUGGCGUCGGGGGAGGUAGCCGACUUGCUCGGAUUCUCGGCCCGUUGCAUCCAACUACAUUGCCGGGUUGUAUGAUUCGUCGGCUUGCUCGGAUUGGUCAUGUGGAAACGACAAGGCUGAUCAAGCAUCAUCUCAAACGUGCACUUCUGCUUAUCUUGCCACGGCUUCUUCUGUUCUCCUUUCUUGGCCCACUGCUGAUUCCCAGUCUUCUGUCGCUGGCUAUGACCGUCAUCAGGUUGAUCUUGGAUCGCAACCACAUGAGCUGGCCCAUACCGGUAAUCCGUCCUGUCAUCUCUUCUCUUGUUUGUAUGAUCUUGAUGAUCAUUUCUCUGGAAUGCCCCGGCAGGGUUGUAUGUCUGUUGCUCUCUGUGCGGCUCUGCCGGCAUCAGUGACGGCUGGGUUGGGUCUCCCUAUGCAUACAUAUCUGCAACCUUGAUCAUCUCGGCCAAUGUAGCCGGCAUUUCUCUUUGCAGCUUUUGCCAUAACAUGCUGCCAUGUCGGCAUCCUUGGGCAAACCAUGCUAUAGCCUGUGAUUCCACAAUCCCCUCACAGGAAUUGCAGAGAUUGUUCCAUCUCGUCAGGUACUCCCGGUUGGUCUCAUUGUCUCUCUGCUUGCACAUGGACAAUUGCUGAGGUCGAUUAGGUCUCUUGUAUGUGCUGGUGAAGUUGAUAACAAAAGCUUCUUCGAAAUCUAUCCAACAGUUGAUGCUGCCCUCGGGCAGAUUGUUCAGCCAAAUCCUGGCUAGUCCUUCUAGCAUUUGGGGUACGUAACGUACUGCUAGUCUGCGAUUGCCUCCUGCAACAUGCACAGCAGUGACAUAAUCUUCCAGCCAGUCUUCCGGCUUGGUGCUGCCGUCAUAUGUUCUCGUGCCCUUGGGUAGCUGGAAACCCGGGGCAGGCAUCUCUCUCAUGAUCCGGUAAGCAAAGCAACGUGGUCCCGGAGGACCCUGCGGUUCCAGAAGUUCCGACUGGUAGAUUCUGUCGAGCCGGUGGCGAGCAUCAAGCGGCGACACUUGCCGGUUUCCCACUCGAGCUCCGAGUGGACCGACGUUGUCACGCUCUCGCCUAAGAUAACCAUCAUCUCCCAUGGCCGAGUAUCUGUCAUUGUAACAGUCUUGCUUUGAUCCUCACCUCGAUACAGGGGUUGUGCCCGGCACUCUGCUGACCCGCAGCAGUAUUGGGCGCCGGACCGCGAGGUUGGUGUCCAUGUCCCGCCGAAUGACGUUCUUGCGGGUCUCGGCGAUUCUUGCUGAGAUGUAGGCCACUUUGACCAUCAUCAACUCGCCUGGCAACUUGCUUCCCAGCGAAUGCCGGAUCAUAGUGAUCCAGCCGUUUGUCUCGGUCGGAAUUAACACUCUUAUCCCGUCUCCCACCGACAUUGGGGGAAGACGCUUGAUUGCCGGCUCGGCCACUCGCGCCUGCGGCCGAGUGAAUGAUCUGGGAUGCCUCCGGCUUGGCAUGCAACUUCAUCUAUGCCUCAUUUUGCUCGUUAGCAAUGUGAAGCAGCUCCUUCACCCGCUGCUGCUGCACUCGGAGCGCUUCUCCUGUUAGGUUAGGUAGCUCUUCUGCUGCAACCUCAGCAGCCCUGAGGUUUUUAACAAGAGUGCUAUAUUUCGGCUUCAGUGCCGACGCAUAGCUUCCCGACAUAGCAGGGGCAACUCUACCAUCCCUAGCUAUCUCGGCAUUCAAGUUCUUGCCCCGGUAACGCACCUCUCCUACUCAGCUAGGGUUGUGCAUGGCAGUAGAGUUAAGACCAUGAGCUUUGUUAUACUCACGGAGGGAAAUCUCGAGCUCUUGUCGAGCGCGAGACACGUCGACAGCUUCCUGCAGCAAGUUCUGGCGCUGCACUUCCAGCUCAGCUUGGAGCUAUGCUGAGUUGGCGUUUGGAGCUACAGGCGCAGCCAGCCUUUUGAUGGAGGCCUGAAGCGGAGUCGGCUUUGCAGCGGGGGGCGAGCUGUUCUGCCGGACUUGCUCGGGACACCGGUGUUUUCAGCUGCGCCUUUGCCGGCAUCGCCACCCUGAGCUGUCAUCAUGACCUCCACGCAGCUAACGGGGCAGUCGCUAUGCCGGCCGCGAGCCGCGCAGACGGUAGGGGGAUCCUCAGCUACCACCACAUGCUCGGGAUACCUGCAAGCAAAGUCAGUGGCGACGUAGACCUCGUGUGUGCCAAAGUUGAUGAACCGGCCGGCAUAGGGCAAUGGUGCGAUGUUAAAGCAACCUGUGUUGUUGUCGAUGAAGCCCAGAGAGCCGAAUCUUUGGACCAAACCGGAGACCACGCGCUCUCCGGUGACGACGAUGCUUCCCGUCCGGAUGAAAACUCCAGCCAGCGCCGCUGCUGGCCCCACGGUGGGCGCCAACUGUCAUGGUGGUGUCACGUCAGAUGCCAUAGGAUGGCUUAAGUUGGGACCGAUGGAGGAUCCGGAGGAGGGAUGGCGUAGUGAAACUACACACAAUGUAAAGAAGACACGGUGUUUACCCAGGUUCGGAGCCCUCUUGUAGAGGUAAAGCUCCUACUCCUGCUUAGCUUGUAUUACCCGAGAUACACGAGAGCUACAAUGGUGCUUCUUGAGCUGUAUUGAGAGGAACCCCCCUCACAGGAGGGGUGAAGCCUCUAUUUAUAGGCUAAGGAUGUUACCCUGACAGGUGGGGCAAGGGGAAACCCUAACAACUCCUGGGCCUGCGGGGCCUGCCCGUGGUCUCCUCCGGAUUGUCCGGGAGGGGACAAUGCAGUUUUGUGCUUUUCAUACUAUGAGACGGCGCGCACUGUAGCCAUGCCCCGGCUAUGGCUACCGUCACUGUCCUUCUACGGCGCGUCACUGUGCAGUCGUCCGACACGGCAAUGUGAGCAAUGACUGCUUUCCCGUCAUCAAAGGAGCGUAGCUUUACUUUAGACCGUAAGAUCAAGAUAAGACCGUUGGCAUAUCCCGGCUCUAGCCGAGAUAAGAUAGCUUUUGCUUGUCCUGCAAUUACAUGAGACAAGAUGAUGAUGCCGGCAUACUUUUGGUAUGUCGUCCUGUUAGAAAGUCGGCUUAUGAGUGCUGGUCUAUUCAUUUAUGCCGGUCCUGCUUUCGGUUAGCCGGUCAUUAUGUGUCGUCAUGAUCCUACCCGGGGUCAUUCCCCCGACAACAGGCGUACCGAGAAGCAAGUGGGAGCAGGCAGCGUGCGGGAGCGGACGGGCAGCGGGAAUCUAUGAGCGGAGGCAGUGCGCACAAACGGGCGGCCGCGCAAUGUUCGGUGUCGGGAUGAAUCGGGACGGGAAGAGGAGGAGUUUGCACUCAGAGUGGAUGGAGAGGAUAGUCAGAGGGAGAGCGAGAGAAAUUGGGAGAAGUGAUUUGAGAAAUAAAGUAGAAAGUAGGAGUAAUAGGAGAGCAUGAAGGCAAAAAAGUUAUCAUUGCUACAUGGUCUUAAUUAUUCAUAAUUAUAUUGAGAAUCACUUCAUGAAUUCAUCAAAAACAUUGAAAAACACUCACACAUGACUUUUCAAGUGUGAUGUAUGUGAGAACGGUGACACCCUGGAGGUAGAGAGCAAAAGAGUUGAUCAUGUGUCACUUUUUCUUUACACGAGAUAUAGAAAUAAGACAUGUGUAAAAGAGAAAGAGAUCAGAGUAUAACCUAAAAAAUAAACAUAGAGAAAAUUACGCAAAACCACCACAUUUGUGACACUCGAUGAUUUGACAGCUAAGUGCAUUGUGAUGCAAAACCAGACAGGGGGCCACCUGUUCGUGCCAGCUUGGCGCCACGCUCGACAUGGCCUGCACGACUAGGACGGCGUUCGGGUACGUCUCAGGCCACCGCUCGAAGUUCUGCCUCGCCCCUCCAUCUUCGAUCUGCCCCGCUGCACCGUGACCCAUGAGGUCGUCGCUCGCCUCGCCUCGCCGCGCGAGGUCACCGUCCUCGUCGCCCGCGCAUCGGCGGCGACUUGACGCAUCGCCAGUGCCGGGGAAGAUGACGGGCGCGACAGCACGAGGAGGCCCUCGGUAGCGAGGUAGGGGCGGCCGAGGUCGGGCUCAGACGCGGGGCGAUUGGGGCUCGCGGGAUCGAAUCCGUAGGCGGAGGGCGGCAGAGGAUCCAGAGAUGGGGGAGACGGUGGCGACGGCGGCGGGAUCUCGAGGAGGCUGGGCCGCGGCGGCGGGAUCUCGAUGUGGCUGGGGAGGAGGCGGCGCCCGGGUUGGGUUGGGCUUCUGCGCGAAACGCCCGUGUUGCGGCUGCGGAUGCCCGUGUUGCAGGAGCGUGGCGGGCGCGCGGGUUGACCGGCGGUAAGCCGGCAGCGUCUGUCUCACAGGGACGGCGGCGCUGCGCUUAUGACGAGUCCUCCGCGGCCCCGCGCCUACGACGUGGUCGCGCUCCGCUUCCGCGGCCGCGACGCCGUCACCAAUUACCACAAAAGCUCGAGCUCCCUUCUUCUUCUUCGUGUCCGGCCACGACUAGCGAGCUCGCGUUCCUGGACGAGCUGCGGCAGGGCCUGCUCCGCGGCCAUGGCGCCGGUGCACGCGUGCGCACCCCCAGCGACUUCGGCAAGCUCAACCGGCUCGUGGUGCCCAAGCAGCACGCCGAGAGGCAUUUCCCGGAGCCGGAGAAGACGACCGGCAGUAGCGGCAAUAUGGGCGUGCUGCUCAACUUCGAGGACGGGGAAGGAAAGAUGUGUCGUUCAGGCACUCCCAUGACGUCAUGGACCUGCUCGCGCGCGUGGUGUUCGCUCAAUAAGCUGCGUCGCGAGCAGAUAAGAGGCUGGUCGUUCUCGCUGCGGAUGAAGACAGCGGCCUCAAGGCGGAGGCUCAGCUGCAUGUCCCGGAAGUACUGAUCCCUGGUGAGGCGAUCGUCGCCGCUGUGGCCGAACUGCAACUCCUUCCGCUGCACAUCACGCAAGUGCAGAGCCUGCUUCUCAAUUACUACCUCCGUUCCAUGAUUCUUGUCGAAAUAUUACAUGUAUCUAGACGUUUUUUAGAAUAGAUACAUUCAUUUUUUGGCAAAUUUGAGACAAAAAUUAUGAAACGGAGGGAGUACGUGCUCACCAAAUUCUGGGGAUCGGUCGGGCGUCGGCCAAAGUGCCGAGGAGGUCCUCCGCGACGUCGCCUUUGACUCUCCACGUCAUCAAGCAGUUCGGCCACGACUUGUCCAGCGUGGCGCCAAGCUGGCACCGACAGGUGGGCCUCUUUGUCAGGUUUUGUAUCAAAACGCACUUAACUGCUGAAUCAGUGCGCAAGAGUACCUCCGGCUUCAAAAGCGGUGGUAAUUUGAAAAAAAUUAAAAAAAAAUGUGGUUUUUCUGGAAGUGUCCAAAAUGCGGUGGUUUUGCGUAAUUUUUUCAAGAACAUAUCAUAAUCGUUAUAUACAUAUGCCCAUGAAACACAUCAACAUUUGAUUUGACGUUUUGAUACAAUUUUUCGUUGUUCCGUAUUCACGGGCCUUUUGCUAGUUAACUUAUUAAGAGACUUCAAACGGGAAAACAAAUCUGACAUCCAGUUGCAGCACAUUAACCUCGUAUAUACCAUAGUUUUACAGUGCUGAUUUCAUAUCCUACUAACCUUUGGAUUGCUCCAUUUCAGUCUGUUCCAAACUUCUAAUAUCACAGCUACAGCCUUACAAGUAUAGCUUCCAUAACAGUCGAUAAAUUGCUCUUUAUGCCUAGCUGUAAGAUCAAGAAACAACUACUAACAAAUUAACACCACCAGAAUGACGAAUUUGUGACCUAAAAAACCUAUCUGAUUAACUCUCCCCUUCCGGGAAAAAAAUAUAAUAAACCUUCCAGGCAUAUCAUAACUUUGCUGUCGUUCACUAUAUGCAGUCCCUUCUAUGCCUCUGUUUUCGAGUAAUAGAUCGACCCAAGCGAACCCGUCGCACUGUGAGAGCAUCUAGCAAGACAUCCAACGAGCACUCCACUGCCUCAGCUUGCUCUUCCAGCUUGAACGCACUGAGGUCAGGCCGCAUGUGCAGCUCCGAGAGGAGACCAGCUGCGGCUGCCGCAGUGCAGGUACGAUCCCAUGCUGGCUGAGGUCUGUUUUCCGAAAACAGAUCAGCAAAAGUAAGAAUUAAAGACCUGGAAUAUUCAAAAGAAAACAACAAAUAUAAAAAAUAAAUACAGACUUAGUUUUUAGCUCACCGCAGUUUAUGCAUCACUGAAGCGCUCAACAUAGACAGUGAGAUACACGGUAUGUCUUCCUCCCCCCAUAUUGCAGCCCAUCUCUCCUAUAAAACCUUAGAUAUUAGGAUUCACUUAGCUAAUUGCUAAAUGACAUGCUUUAUCACACACUCGUGCUUAAAAAUGACUUCAACCAAGCAGAUGCCAUUCACGUGGUGUGUCCUAUGUUUGGUUGUGGCCUGGACAUGCUUUAUUGAAAGCACAGUUGCCCUGUGAGGGCAAACAUAUUAGCAAGCACCAUACAGUAGCAGGCGGUUGGGCCAGUGCUUCCACAGGAGCAUGUGGUUGUAGUUAGUUGAGUUGGCAAGUAUUCUUGAGUCUAUUCUACGUAGUAUGAGUUAAAUCCGCAUUUCCGAUUUAGCUUGGCAUCUAAAGUAGUUUAGGCCAAACUAGUUUUGUAACCUAAUCAAAUUUAGGUGGCGGCUUUUCCAGAAAGCUAGGGGAGGGCAGCUUCUCGGAGAAGCUGGUCUAGGAAGCCGAAAAAACUGGCCCUAAAUAUCUGCUGGACCAACACCUCAAUGGCGGGAAAGUAGAUAAAUUUGCCUCACAUGGCAAAGCAUUACCAUGAUGGCAGUGCCAAAAUUUUCACUUAUAAAACACAAAACAGUACCAUAAUUGCUUCCAUAAUAGUUCCACAAACAAGAAGACACGUAUCAGCUUAUAAAUUACGAUAAAAAAUCGCAUUAAAGGGUAAAGUGUGUACCUCAACUUCAUAUGCUUUAUGAGUUGCUACGUCCGCAAAUAAUAUUAGAUAACCUUGUGACCUUUACAUGUAAUGAACGCUUAGGAGUUGGAGCAUAAAGAGUACUACUCCACCAUCAAAGCCAUCAUCAGCUCAAUCGCAUAGUCAGUACACCUCCAACCAUCGCUGGCUGUGAAAUCUUAUUUAGGUAUGCUCCAACACCUAGUCCUAAUGUUGAAUGGCCACAAAGUCAAAUCCAACAAUAUCCAUGGAUGUGGUUAUAACUCCAAAACCGAUCAAAACAUACAAUCCUACCACUUGAUAUACCCCCGUACUGCCAACCAUAAUCUGCAAGAUGAUAUUGUGCUCCGGAUGGUGAUGGUGCCAAAUGUGCAUUUUUUUUAUGAGCAUCCUAUAUGGUAAAAAUGGUAUUUUGAAAUUUUAUUGAAGAUCAUCUCCUUUUGACAAUAAACACAUGCUGCUUGCACACAAAUAACUUGGGGCCAGCAGCGUGAUAAUUCAUAUUACAUUUUGAAUUUUUACUAAUAAGAAUUAACUUCUUCCGUAUAUUAAAUGUACUAUCGACACCUCUUGUCACUGCCACCAAGAGGACAAUACUGCAUAAGGGGAGGGUAUACCUAGGAGGUAAAACCGUCGAUGAUAUCCUUUGAUUAGCUUUGGAGUUGAUAUGUUCACAAAUGAAAUAUUACUUUCUGACGUUGUGGUCUUUGCAUGGAACAAACGCUUAGGAGUUGGGAGUUAAAUUUGGCAGUAUCAAACUGAUCACAUGCUUAGUAACCCCUCAAACAUCUCAGCAUGGCUUAUGUGUAUAUCAUGGUGAUGUUCGGUAUGCUCCAACAACUAAACAUGGUGUUGCGUGGUCACAAAGUCAAAUUCAAUGAAAUGAAUGAACAUGGUUACAACUCCAAAAUUAAAUAAAACAUACAACCUUACCAUUUCAUAUCCCCCUAACAUAAUGUCAACCAUAAUGAGCAAGAUGAUUCAGUGCUCCUGCUCAUGGCGGCGAUAGUGCCAAAGGUACAAAGAAUGACAUUUUGGAAUGUUAUAUGGAGCCUCUGUUGAAAUUUAAUUGCACAUAUCACUUCGGCAUUCGUUGGCAUAUGAUUGGAUAUGGCAAACACAAAGUCACGAGGGUAAGACCAACCAAUGGGCCCUAGCAUGGUGCAGCAGAAGCAAACCAUAAUGGGCCAAUGGCCCUUAACUUGACUGCGAUGAUUUCCUCUCUGCUUCCUGUCCUUCCUCCCAGAGCCGAAUCUGCUGUGCUCAGAUGCAAGCUCAUAGGAUUUGGCAGACCACUAUGGAGGCCAUAUGGUUCCCUCUUGUCCAAAAGGAUUAGACUAACACAGGCACAGGAAAAAAUGAAGCUUACCUGGACUACAUUUGUUGUAUGUAUUACGUAAACAAUGGUUGCAUCAAUAUAGCUUAAAACCUUGAGCAAUGAUUUUUCAUGUGGAAGCAGACACAAACAAGUAAAAGGAGUGCAGCAUGUUGAAUGAGGAAUGCACUGAAUCGUACCUUCAGCCUUCUGUAUAAUGCGGCAGAGUUACUCCAGGUACCAUCAAGCAAGACCAAGUUAAGAGGUUCACCUUGUGCUUCCUACAUUCCAAAAGUUAACCUGUUACCAUGUACCGAUAGUGAUAUCUUGCUGCAUCAUGUUAUUUUACCAUGAUACUUGAUAUCUCUUCUCUUACACAUCACCAUCAUAAACACAUAAAACCAGUACAGCACGAACACAUAAAACAUGUACACAUAAAACCAGCAAACAUUCAAAGGAGUAACUAUUGAUAUUCAAUACUUUGCAUCUUAAGGUGCUAAUAAAUAAAAUUCCCAAUGUCGAACAUAACUAAGAAGACUGCACUGCUUAUAAGCACUUCGAUUUGAAAGUUGGUUUUGCAACAUUUCAAGUCAUAGAUACAAGCUUAAAUAAAAAAAUACAUACCAUCUCCUGACAUUCAGCAUUCAAGGUCAAAUCAUCAAAUUUAAGAUCCUGGACAGAUUUGGGGGUUGUACUCUUAUUUGGGUACAGAAAUGAGACCUUCCCCUUUCCUGGAGGACAAAAUCAGGAUGGAAAUAUACAGUAAUUAGUUGUAGUGACAUACAUAAUCAGAAACACCCUAACUAACAAUAUUUGCUAUCGAUUAAGCAAAGAACAAACAAAGUUUUCUAGUCUCUCCCUCUCAUCUUGAAUAAUAAGCAGUUAAAAAGCUCUCAAUGGCAACGAAGAGCCCUGCUGACAGGUAGAGGAAGGCAAGCACCCUACCAUAAAUCCACGGACCCAUGCCCGACCGUGCAUAUAAAAAUGAAGCUAAUUGAAACAAACAUAACAAGUGAACCGAAUCUAAAACGACAAAGAAAAUGAGUAAGUUAAACCCUAGCAAGCUUUCAUGCCAUCAAAGGUGUUUUUGAGAUUACCUGACCGCUGGAAUGCAUCCCACAUUAUAUCUUCCUGUUCUUGGAUGCCGAAGAGACACAAGGGCGCAGCUUGGAUGCCAAAUACUUGCCAGAGUAACUUUCCAGUGUUGUUUUGCCGCAAGAAGUCCUGAAAGAACAGAAAUGCUCACACAACCCAAAAGGAAAGGAUACAGCAGCAAGUACAGCACAACAGACCUUUGGAUGCAUGUAUAGCCAGAAUUUUAUUCCCCUCCACAAAUUGCAAGGGGCAAGUUUUGAGCACAUACAAUCUUCCAUUGGUAGCCAGCACUGCAAUUUAGAGAUAUCAAGAAAAACUUUAAAACUCUUGGCAUGAACAUGAGUGAAAAAUGACUACAGCAAUGUAUGCAAAAAUAAGCUUCUGUUGAGUAGAUCAUUAAAGCCAAAUUGAUGCAUAUGUAUAGCACUGAAUUCCUUUUCAGACUGAUUAACUGGUACGCUACCUUCUGGCACAGAUACCCCCUGCUCCCGAGCAGACGGCAACCAAUCUGCCGUGCAGAGUAGUACUGCAGCUUCUGAUCGGAGUCGGGGAGCGUCUCGUACACAGCCCUGUGCUUCUUAUCCUCCACGUCCUUGAAAUCGCCCUACGACGAGUUGAGAGAAAAUCAAACCAAUAAAUUCAAUAGCAUUCCCGUCGAUUUAAUUCUUGAUGCGUUCUGUAACUUUUAGAAGCACAUACACAGCAACAACAUCUAGGUCCAAUAAGGGAUUGAAGCAAAAACCGUUACCUUCAGCUUGGAGCCAACGCCACCGAACCGCAUCUUCUCGCCGGCCAAGGAUUCCAUCCGGAGCAGCUCGCGGACGACGGCGGACACCACAUUUGGGAGAGGAGAGGAGGUUCCCCAUCGCUGCCACUCCUCCGUGCUCACCUCACCGCCGUCUCCAGCGCCGGUGGAGAGGGCUUCCUCCUCCGCCUCUUCGACCGCUAUCUCCGCGGAGAAGACCAUGAGAGACCGCGUUGGGGUGGGGCAGGGAGGCGGACCCUGAGGCCGGCGGAGGAGGGCGGGAGGGUGGGGAAGCGGGAGGCGGCGGUGGAAGGCGAGGGAGCGGAUGGAGGUUGGACGAGCCAGCAUUGCCGCUGCUGUUUUUUUAUUAUUGCCCGUCAAUACCACAGGAACAACAAUCCGAAGUUCGGAAAUCCGAACAUGGUGGACUUUUAGAUUUUUCUUUUCUUUUCUAAUUACUAGUACAAUGCUCGCACGGCCUACGCAAAAAAGUUCAGGUUAUAGAAAAGACAAAAAUUGACAUUUGAAAUGUGUUGAACAAUAAGUAUUAAUCAAAGUGUCAUUUACUUCAGCAUAAACUAUUUUGUGAGGAAUUCUUUGUACACAGUAUUCUUUGUGUAUGUCUCGCUUGUACUCAUUUCCACAUUUUUGUUCUUCGUAUUGUUCUUCUUUUUAUUCUCCUUAUUCUCUUGACGUGUACCUGUUAGUACCUUUAUGUUCUUUGUCGCUGUUGCCUUAGAGAGUGCUACAUAUAGUUGGCCAUGUGAGAAAACUGGUUCUGGCAGGUAGAUGCCUACAUUUGGUAUUGUCUGACCUUGUGAUUUGUUUACUGUCAUUGCGAAGCUGAGCCUGAUAGGAAACUGUUUCCUCUUUGAAACGGAAUGGGAACAUCUCGUCGUCAGAGGGGCAUAAUGGUAUUCGAGGCAAGAAAACUCGUGUUCCAGAAUGUUGUCCUAGCACAAUCUCUGCAUCAAUAGCAUUUUUUUGAAAUCCCCGUACGACCAACCUUGUGCCGUUGCAUAGGCCAUUUGCGGGGUCGAUAUUCCUGAGUAGUAUGAUUGGACAAUUAAUCUUGAGUUUCAGCAUAUGUGGAGGCAGUCCGUUUGGUGUAAGGGUGUUUAGGAAUUCUGGUGGAUAGUAGUUAUGCGGGUCUUCUUCUACACAAUCGAAGCUGUGGUACACCAUCUCCUCCCCUUGGAAGCAAUCAAUCAUUUUUAGGUUGAUUCUGUCUACGCACUCGUUCUUUGUGGAUAAAAUUGCUCUUGACGUGAUGUAUUUUGGAUCUUCUAUGGAGGCAUCGUUUUCUUUGUAGAUAUAGUUGAUGAGACUAUCCAGGCCAUUAUCAUCCGUCUUAUUUGGCACACAUAUACUUGUAGGCAGAAGUAUUUCUCCGUUUUCGUUUGUCAUCUCGGUUCCGUUUCCAAUGCGCAGUAGGUAUUCUGCAAACCCUGGGUCGUUUUGAGCCCUCAUGUUUUGCACAAGCUUAAUUUUUGUCAUGCAGUUCCAGAGCUCUGACCUGCUUAGUGACGCAUCUACUAUUUGGGCUCUUAUACCCUUUCGUACAACGGGAAGUACUUGUCUAAAAUCUCCUCCAAAUACAAUUGUUUUUCCACUGAAUGGAAGAUCCGGUCUAUCCAUUAUGUCUUGCAUGCUUCUGUCGAGCGCCUCAACUGCCUACCUCUUUGUCAUCAGUGCUUCAUCCCAGAUUAUUAGAGAUGCAGUUUUUAGUAGCUUGGUUGUACCGCUUUGUUUUGUGAAUCCACAAAUUGCCCCAUCAUCUAUUCUUAGUGGAAUCUUGAACCUUGAGUGUGCAGUCCUCCCUCCAGGCAUUAUGGAAGCAGCAACACCGGAAGUGGCCGUCGCAAGAGCAAUCUUGCCUUGUCUGCGUACCGUGUCCAAUAGGGCUCUGUAAAGAAAUGUUUUUCCUGUGCCUCCUGGUCCAUCGACGAAGAAUACUCCUCCUCUUUGGCUGUCGAUCGUGGCUAGGAUUUUGUCGUAGGCCGCCUUCUGCUCUUUGUUUAGUUUGUUAUGUAACGUUUCGUCCUCAGGGUGUGUCUCGAUUGAGUACUCCUCGGUCAUCUCUCUAGGCAUGUCGUUGUUUGUCAUGUCAUGUUGUUCGUCUAUCUCUGGCAGAGGAAAUGACUGGAUGUCUUUUCCCAUAGAUUGCAACAUGCCCCUGAUAUCUUUGAGUACCAUCUGUUCGAUAGUGUGCUUGCAUUUGUAGUUUCUACUAUAGUCCUCAGACAUUCCCUCUAGGUGAUUGUUCCAGAGGCCACGGAUGUCGCUAGGCUCACAAAACACCAGGAUUGUUGCGAAUAGCCUGUGGAGCGAUGAAGGCUUCCGGAACAACUCCGCUUCUGUCAUGCAAUCAUCUAGUGUGUUGUCUGCCUUAAUGAGCCCCCUUUUUUCUGCAGCUUCACGGAAGUUUGGCAUUACUUGGCCAUCAACUGUUCUCAGGUCUUCGUAGCUUGUGGCCCCUGGCACGUGGUUUAGGAGAACUCGGAGAUAGUAUCGUUCUCCUUCAGCCGGAUGUGCUGAGAUGAUCCUGCCAACCUAGGCCGUACCUUUUCAUUUCCUUUCUUGCCACAAUUUAUCUCCUCUUUGCCAAGUAUAAUGUUCGGGGAAGUCCCUGUAUGGUAUGUCUCGUGCUUUCUCAUUUAAUCUGUUUGCGUCGAAGUAUGCUGUCAACAUUGACCUAUCUGCUCCACCACGGCUGAUAACGUUCUUGAUAUUUUGUUCGGCAUUAUAUGAAACCAUGUGCAUAUUUGGGAGAUGUAGCUGUAGUUGCAGGACGGAUGGAUGUAUUUUGCUUAAUUCGAACCCAUAUAUUCUCCAUAGUGCUUCCGGAGGUGUCACCCACCGUGCAUCUCUGUACUGCCUUAUCUCGUCGAUUUUAGCUUCAUUUACUUUUUCAGUGACGGAUACAGAUGCUCGGUCAUGUCCCUUGUAGAUGUACUUAAACAGGUACUUAACGGCUUUAAUGCUUGAGCAUAUCUCGACAUUUAUGUGGCAGUUGAACAUCCUCAACAGAUAGGGGUUGUAAGGAACGACCCACCUGUUAUCUAGCGUGCAUUUUCGGAUUGUUUCGGUCCGACCAUCAUUGCGUCUCCUAUAUAGUGGGUAUGAGUCCUUGCCUUGAAUUGUAUUUUCGUUAAAUGUGGAUAAUUGUUCUUGCACGACGUGCGAUUCUUUGUGCACGGACAAUUUCUAUUCAGUGCACCGCAAGGACCAUGCAUCAUAUGUUUGAUUACCAUUUUGUAUAGCUCUGGAUACUUGUUCUUGUUAGGGAGUUCAGCCGAGAUUAUCUUGUCAUAUUGUUCUGGACAUGUGUACUUGUAUUUUCCAGUCAUGAUAAGAAGGAAGUGAGCAUGUGGUAGUCCCCUCUUCCGGAACUCUACAACAUAGGUAUAUGCCUUAACCUUUCCAAGAAUGCUCUUCUCAAAUAGUUGCUUCUUCAUUUCUUCUAGCUUCGCCCUAAAUACACGGACAACGAUAUUUGGGCGAUCUUGUGGUGUCUAUCCACACUCUAGCUCACAUUUGAUCUCUUCCCAGUUUGGGUUGCAGGUCAUUGUGAGGAAUAUAUCUGGCUUUCCAUAUUUUCUAACUAAAGCCAUUGCAUCUAGAUAUCGACGAAGUUUAUCUCGUGGCCCUCCAAUAAAUGAUGAGGCUAAAACUGUUCUUUUUCCGAUUGCAUUUCCGUCUUGUUCUCUGGCUUUAAUGCUAUCGAGAAGGCCUUGGUAUAGAUCCGCCCUUAUUUCUUUCUGAUGAUGAAACAUGUAGUCCAGUCUAGAGUUCUCAAUCUUGAUAUAUGUAUCUACAACAAACUGUUGUAGUAGUCGUCCGCCGUACAAUAUUGGGUUGAAGAUGUUUGGUCGCAUAUGUAAUUUAUAGCAAUAGUAUUCUUUCAUGGUUACCCACAGCCUACUGGUUGCAUCUGUUCCAAGCAUUGUGACAUAAAAAAGUUAGCUGCAUGUGUAGGAGUGUACCAUAUAUCUCUACCUAAUAAUAAAAUCAGGGAUGAAUAUUGAAUGAAUAUUGAAGACAGUACUGACCUGGGUCAUCAUCAUCAUCGUUUUCUUCUGCACCAGCCUUUUUCAUAUCUUCCUCUUCUGCAUUUGCCUUUGGUAUCUUUGAAUGCAAACCUAGUUCACCUCUUGGAAAGAACAGAGGAUACGACAACGGAUCAUAGCAUCCAUAAUAUGAUUUAAUGAUCUGUAUUUCGUUGUUGUUUCCAUGUAUUAUUACGUUCUUGUCAAAAGUAUUUCUUCUUUGAUUUCCUUUGAUCCACACUGCAGCUACCUCUGAAGUGAUCGGUGCGUUGUAUGUUCUCUGGUCCAAUCUUUGGUCAAGGUUCAAGAUGAGCCUGUAGUCGUCAAGGUCUUCGGCUUGUCCCAAACUUCUAAAUUGUUUAGAAUAUGGAUUCUCACGUAGAAUCUCAGUUAUUAUGCCAACUACGUGUUUGUCUUGCUCGUAAGUUUCCUUGCGGCAACGGCGGUACCGAUGUUCUAAGCUUGGAUCAUCAUCAUAGAAGUAUAGUUCCAGAUGCUUUGGAUCUGAGCGACUAUUAGCAAAUGAGUGUAUAGGUCUUUGUUGGUUGGACUUACUGAAGAGGGUAUGUCUGUCCAUGAAAGAUGGUAAGUUGUCCAUAAUUUAUAUUUUUUUUGAAAUGCAUGAGUAUAUAUUCUAUAAAAUUUAGAGUAUUACCUUUAAUCCUGAUUUCUGGCUUCUUUAGAGGUUCUGUGUCACCAAUGUCUUUUUCAUCACGGAUAUUAUGGAAUCGAUGGCCUCACGGCGUUCAUUCUCAUUGAAAAAUGGUUGCGGUUGUUCAUCCACGUUUUUGUUGGUUGCUUCUAUCUCAUCGUUGUGAGUUUUCAUCUUGGAUGUGUCCUCUUGUACCGAUACCUGAACAGUUUUCCUCUGUCUUGUCGAGAAUUCUUUGUUACGACGGUGUACCAAUGUUUGUCUUUCUCCCGGUGUCACAGUUUUUCUGCGUCUUACUUUUAAGGGAGAUAUAUUAACUUCCUGUUCUGCCGUGAUAUAUGCAGGGUUCUCCAUCGCAAUUGAAUCUCUGCUUGGUGUGCUGCGCUUCAGUUCACGGUUAGCUCCAAUUUGAUUUAUUCUAGCUUUCUUUUGUUCUGGCUGCAUAUUUGCAUAUCUCCGCCUAUGUUGUGCCUGUUGUUUUGUCUUUUGUUCCGUCACCUUUUCUUUUUUUUGCUCAUAGGCUUCACGCCGUUUUUCCAGUUGUUCUUGCUUUUCUUCAUCGGUCUUUUGCUUAUAGGAUUCACGCCGUUUUUUCAGUUUUUCUUGCUUUUCUUCAUCUGUUCUUUUUGCAUCCCGCUCUCUCUCUCUCUUUUCCUUUUUUGUUCCUUGACAUCCAUAACUUCAGAGUUCGACUCAAAUUGCUUGGCUGCAUGAUAAUUUUUAUAUGUUGUAAGUAUGAAAUCUGGAUAAUAUGAAUAGAUCAGGGGUUUUUUCCUAUUUCAAGCCGGCUGGCCAACAGCAUAUUUGAGAGCUACAUACCCGUAAGGAAGUUGAAGGGAUGUCAUGUGUAAGGAGAUGAAUAAUAUACCUAAUGACUUGUUGUAUUUUCUUAUCAGGGUUGGCCAGGCGACACGAUGGUUGUGGCUUGGAGUUCAAAGUGUUGGACUACAGCGUAUCUCUAGCUACCACGCCUGUAUAUAAAGGCUAGGUCGCCGGAGGGAUUGUCAAAGUAUAUUAGGAUUCAAACUGAUCCUUGCCUGAGUAGGAUUAGGAGUCACGUAGGAUUUGGACUGAUCCUUAUCUGAGUAGGAUUAGGACUCAAGUAGGAUUCGGUCUCCUAUUUUGUAUUUGUGAAUCUAGAUAUGUUUGGCUGCAUGCUAUUUUCAGUUGAUAAUAAGGCCCUGUCAAUCGUUGUGCUACCAUGUUCAGCAGCUCAGCAAUGCAGUUGACGGGAAGCAGGAGUAUGAGAAGCUACCAUGAUCUGUGCCGAUGAGACUUCAUACCGUACCAGACAGAAACACUUUCAGAAGGGAGCAGAAGUAAUAAAAAUUGUCACGACUUGCAUUGCUCUAAUGUAUCGGUCAGCCUCAAAUCUCUACUUUCUGAUGCUCGUCAUAUCUCUGAAACCUGUCAUGGUGGAUUUCAGGUACCCUUUUAUCGAUGCCAACAUGAAGGAACUUUUAGCUACUGGUUUCAUGUCGAACCGUGGCCGUCAGGUAUCCUUUGGCACACUAUCAGUCAGCAGCAUGACUGCAUAAGGAUUUAACACUGCAGGCUUUCCAACCUCCCAAUCAUUCAUCUUAUAUGCAGAUUGUCUGCUCAUUUUUGGUCUGAGACAUGGCUAUCGAUUGAAGAAUGGGCCGGACCAAGUUCAGGAUGGGUCAGGCUACUCCAGAAGGAAAAUAAACCACAGCAAGUAGCACUUGGCAUGAUUUUAUUUCUGAUGCAUUGACAGAUGAAGCAUAUGCUUGUAGAAAUUGGACUGGGAUUGAUAAAAAACUGGAGGAUGUCUCAAGCUGUUAUAGAAAUAGAUACUAUGGAGUUCAUGUCCCCGUGGAAAUCCAAACACCAUGAUCUGUCUCCCAGAUAAUAAACAUCCUCAUGAACCCAGUGUCUGAACUUUAGAUCAAGUUGUUGUUAUUAAAGAUAAUAACUACGAAAUGAUAAAACAGGCACUUCAAUGAUUAGGCUACAUCCCCGCCAUAACAGAGAACAGAGUAAUAAGUACAAAAAGGCAGAUGCAGUUUAAGAAAAAGUGUCUUGAUCAUGAAACCAACAGGCAUGUCAAAUUGGAAAUACAUUCUUACUGGUAACUAAUAAAGAACCGGCAAUCAGUCACUCCAAGUCAAGUACCAGGUUUUGGACAAAAACCAAAACAAUAUAAUUAGUUGAGCACAUUAGUUCCUGAAAAGCAAUACAAACUCCGCAUUUGAGUAUGUGACAUCCUCAACCCACAAUAACUGAAAACAACACAAACUAAAAAUUUGAGUCUGUGACAUCCUUAAAAGUGUGGAGGCAGUUGGUGAUGCAGCUUCUUUAUUGGUCUUCGUUGCGUUUUCAUCCUCAGAUCUUCACAUUCAUAUUGGUUUGGAUAUUCCCGAUACAGUUGAUGAUAUCCAGUACACCGGCGCGCAUGUUGACUUCACAUUCAUUUUUCUUGAAUGUCAGUAGCUUUCCCAAAAUUUGUUUCCUUAGCUCGUAUCCAUCCUAUACAUUGUAUAUGAAUAAGAUCAGCAUGUCAUGUGUAAAAAGGAUAACGAUUUAAUGCUUAUGAUAUUGACCUUUAAAAAUGGCAGAUUCAAUUUUUCGUCAUCCCAUGUAGACAUGAAGAGUGUAAUAAGAUAACCAGACAAUUCCCUAUGUAACAUAAGAUAAAAAUUAGUCACAAAUGGCAAAAUAUAUAUAUGUAUCGUACAUAUUGAGUAAACAUGUUACCUGUUGUGAAUUGGAAUAUUACUUAUGAUCUGUUGAUGCCAUAGGAAAAUAUUUUCAUUCCAUGUAGACCCAGGGCAUGCCUUUGACAUGGCUUUCGGUAAGUGUUCAGAAAUCCACAAAAGUUUGGGCACAUAUUUUGCGUAUCGGUUGCGUUGAUAGAUGGGGUCAGUAGGAGUAGGAUCCAAAAUGUAGACAGUUCUCGUAUCUUUGGCUAGUACGAAUAGAAUAAAUCCAUUGUUGGCUUGUAUUGGAAUAUGAAUCUGAAUUAAGCUUGAAUUAGGUGUAGAUUAAAAAAAUUGUGUUGACAUGUAUAUGCAAGUGGCCUUACCGUUUUGCAGGAUGAAACGUUAUAUUUGAUACCAGGCCAGCUACGAACGGAAUAUGCUAGUUGUUCCACAUCUAACUUUUUCCGGUAGGUUGGAUGUCGUCCAAAAUCAGUAAUCAUCUAGGAUAUUAUAACAUACAUGAGUGUUUAGAAAGGUAUCAGAAAAAUAUUUAGUAUGUAGAUAUAGACACAAAAAAUACAGUUAAUAUAAGAAAUUACCCAAAAUCGCAUGUCAAGAUAAUGUUUCGAUAUCAAUCCUUUUCUUUUUUUCACUGUUUGGAUAUCGUCAAACAUGAUCUUCCGUAUAACCAAAUUGAAGCAGUCACACUCCAUGGGCAACUCUUCAUUUAGCAUUCCUUGCAGCCUUUUGAGAGUUAAGCUAAUUGGAUAUGGGUCAGAGCUUUGUACCCAAACUUUCCUGCAAAUCAUUAUCAUCACAAAGAAAAUAAGAUAACGUAUUUAUCAAUUAUAUUCAAUUAGUAAAAUAAAAUUACAUGCAAUAAAUGGCUUACUCUAAAAUUUCAGCAGGACCGAUUGAUUUGAUGUAGUUACAAAGUCCACCUUCUAACUCAUCUACACUCAUGUAAGAAACAACAGAUAUCAGUGAUUGGUAUCUUUUUUCAAUAGAUAAUGAGUUUAUUGGCUUUGGCCGAUUUUCGUCAUCUAGGCUUUCCAACAGCAUAACAUCAUUUGGAUCUCCCUCACUAUAAUCACUUUCUUCAAUCAUUGUACUCGCUUGCGCCGUGUUUGUUUUCCAACAUAAUAGUAUGGCAGCUAACUUAUAUCUAAAAUCAAUAAUAUUUUCCUGCAAAGUAUACACAAAUAUUAGCAUUUUACUCAUAUAACAAUUAAAAUGGCACCCACAUAUACAUGUUUAUCAAACAGAAGAUUUAUUUCUUUACCUGUGUAAUGGAAUGUGUUAGUGUAUGUCCGGUCCAAUAUUCCAUGAAUUUAAGCAUAAACAGACCACAAGAUGAACUGCAUGUUUCGAACAAAAUUGAGUACUCCACAUAAAUUACAACAUUUCUUAUAUAUGGUUAUCUGUAAACAAAAUUGUGUUAUAUAUACCUGUCUUUCUGAAUUGGAUUAUGUAGUUGUUCUGUAAUCGUCCAUUUAGUAACAUCGAGGUCUUUCCAAUUAUGAUUAUUCAUGUUUUCUUGAGUUUUAAGAAUGUCCAAAUGAUAUUGUAGUCCUUGCAGCUGAAAAAUUAUUAGGGGUAGAUAACACACGUAAGCGGAAGAUCAAUUGACAACAUUUUUUUACAGAAAAGAGUUAUAAGCAACUAACCGUAUUAGUGAGAUCAACUCGGUUGUGCUCCCAACAUAAUGAGUCGAGUACUUGUAUCUCAGACUUUUCAACGUUGACACAAGCUAAAUACCAAUGCGAGUGCUCGAUGUUUAUUGGAAGAUGAAUCUGCAAUCAAUAUAAUGAGUUAAUCUUAUCUUAGAGAUGUAAUAAUAAUAAGUAAAUAAUAGAACUUAUAAUUAUGGGUAUGGUUGUUACCAUGUCAUGCUUGAGAUAGUUUCCGACAAUCUUUGUCAUAAAGGUUGCUUCAUGUAUUCCAAUCUUACCAUCCCGUUUUAACAGCCCGGCUAAAAAGGUAUUCUCAAAAUAUACUUUAUGAUCGUUCUUAUUUUGCUCAUGUACUUCUUGUAUACAAUAUAUAUACGAGUUGAUUACCUAAAAAGAUUUGAAAAAUAUUAAUUGUUAAUGAAUAUUAAAAUAGUCAUAAACUUUUUUCUUGUUAGUUAAUAAAGGUACUUACAUCAUCCUUUAGCCAUUUGGCACCAUCUAGCAGGCAUCUCAAAUCACACUGUUUUACACAUACUUGAUCUAUCUUCACCAAUAUUUCUUUUUCAGAAGAGUCUUCGAUUACUAUAUGAGCACACAGAUCCAGUUCGGUCAAUGCGUAAUCUACAAAAAGAUCGAAGCAACAGAUUUGCGUUAUAUCCUGAUUUAGAUAUAAUGAAAGGCAUAAGUACAGAAGAUGAGUGAAAAUUUUACCUUGUGGAAGAUAGUCAUAUGUCUCAUUUGUAUGUUGAGGUACGUCUGGUUGCUUACCAUCGUAUGCUGAAAUGGUUUGCUUGUCAUCAUCUUCUGAAAGUUUUUCUUCAUUUACUAAAUCAGAAACCGGCGAUAACGUCGACUUGGUUUCAGAACAUUCAGAAACCAUCGACUUGGUUUCGGAACAUUCAGAAAGCAGAGAUGAUGCUGAGAUGGAAGGUGAUGACAGUAAAUCAUCCAAAACACUUGUUUCACAACAUUUUGCUUUUUUCAAAGGCCGGUUAUCAAAAUCCUGAAAGGUGGUUGUUUCAAUGUUGUGGUCCAUGUUCUGUAAACACAAGCACAAAAAUCAAAGUUUAAGAUCCCAACAGAGAUAGAGCCAAACAUUCAGAAAACAAUUAGCAUGCUCUGACUACACAAAACAAUCAAACAAAAUAAUCAGAAAGAUGCUAACAUAAAUUUUCAAGUUUAGGGAUUGAACUAAACAUACACUCGUGCACCAUAAUCAUCCUUUUGAACAUAACUUUCACAAAAUCAAAGAGAACCUUGGAGGAGGAGGGGGCAUUGUGGCUUGGUUGUGAUGCCCAUUGCUCAGGCAACAGUAUAUGGUAUGGGAAAUUGGGAAUGAAAGAUGCAUUUGUGAGUGGAAUGUCUGAAUCAAAUUCUGAAAGCAACUCAACGGUAUUUCUGAAUGUGUUAAGCUGAAUCAUUAGCCAUUUUAAUCAAUCAAAGUACAUGUUCAGCUUUCUGAAUUCUGAAAUUCUGCAUGGUGGGUUCCAAGGUGUCCACUACAAUAUACUUUCUGCUAUAUUCUUCUGGAGGACAUAAUGCAUAACAGCUAUUUUCUUCUAUAUCAACAUAAUAUAAUGCAUAGCUGUAAAAAAACAUAUGCGGUGAUAUAAUGCAUAAGCAACACUACAUGUGCAAGACCACGAAUUUCAGAGGUUUAAAAAAAUUAGGAUCACGUUGGAUUUCAGAGGUUAAAAAUUAGGAUGGCAGAGCAACACUUCGACUAAAUUAACUUUUCUUGAUUUGAUCGCCGCAACUCUCUAUUCUGAACUCCAAUUAACCUACAGGAGAGAAAGGAUUAGAUUGGAUCGAGAUUGGAUACCCUGCUGCUGUCCUAGGGUUCAAGAGGAGGGAGAGGAAACGCAUCAGAGAGAGUGGGUGCCAUGGGCCAUGGGAAGGGGAGACGGAGGGGCCGCCAUGCGAGGGGAAGUCACACAAUCUCAUCUCAACAGAUUCAAUCAAUAAAGAGCAAAAUUAUAAGAAUCCCUAGGGAGGGGAAGCCAGGAAGGAGAAAGCUGAGACCUUGUUGUCCUCCUAUGCUGGAGUGCUCGGUGGUGACGGAGUUGACCGUAGAGGCGGUACCUUGGGCGAGAAAACGUCUCGAGCGGAUCUGGCGAGGCGUGCUGUCGAAGUUCUGGCAAGUCAGCAAGCGAGACGGCACCUCGGGCGGAGCUUUGUAGAACGGGGCAAAGGAGUACAUGUCGGAACCCCAUUGCUCGAGCAGGAUUUUGCCUCGGAGAAGAAUUUGUCUCGGAUUUAGGUUCGGAGGAGAGCAACCCAGUCGAGGAGUAGAUGGCGAGCGCGCAGGAGACAACGACGGCGGGCCCGGCAGCAGCCGGGUUAAUCUGCCGCUGGCUGCUGCUGCUGCUGCUGCGGCGAGGGCACGUCGGCAUAGCGGGCGAGAUGCGGGUCGGCCGGGGAUGAGUCGGGAGAGAUACGGGAGACGCAAAAUUGCAGUUUAGCCCAUACCUUGCAAAACAAACCCAGUUCCGUCCUUAAUAUGGACCGGGGUUAAAUUAACAAAAAUGUGAAGGGGCAAAUCGCAAAACUUGCGGGCGGACAACGACGAAGGAAGCAUUCCUCCUUUUAUUAUUUGGGUAGAAAUGUUACUCCGUAGCUUUCAUGCUUCAAAUUCGACCUAAAUUUAACUUCCAUAUUUCAAAAUUCAACCUUGUAUAAUUUUGUCACUAUCAAAACUCCAACUCCAUGGGUCUAUCAAAAAGUUUAGUAUGGACACGAGCUUAACAAUUGCCCGUACCACACGUCAAGAUGGUACGUGAUUUGUCACAUUAAUAGUUUAGUGAUAAGGGAUGGCCCGAUCUUCUCAGAGAGCAAUGAGGGUAACUUGUAUGAUUUUACAAAUCUCGCGAUUGUUCACCCGUCGCCGCACGACGAACUUGCAACCCAAUGAAAAUUCGCAACACAACACACUUGCGCAGUAGUCCGCCGACCACAAGCGGUUUCGCAAUCUUCCAAUUCACAACGGAACGACAGAUUAAGUUCGAACUUUUAGUAGAUAAAACACCCUAUCGAAACGAAUAUGGUGUAGGUAAAAUUUUUGAUCGAAACAAAGAGAAAUCAUAUACUUUCAGAUGAAUGCUUGGAGCAAUUCAACAAAAGGUUCUGAAUAAGCUAAAACGUGGUCUUCCCUAAACCUAGUCGUACCCCUUGUUUAUAUAGAUGAGGAGUAGCCCAAACUCAAUACAGACUCCGACUCAAACUCAAACUAGAAUUCGACUCAGACUCAAAAUAGAACUAGAAUUCGACUCAGACUCAAACAUGGACUCGCAGAUCCGGUCGCUCCUUAGACGUAUCGGACUCGUCGUAGGCUCUCCUAGUGCGCCUCAUAUUCGUACAUGACUUGUGGUGCAUCCUGAGCAUAUCAUCCUUGUCGUUGGUUGCCCCUUGCACACAAGACAUUCUUCUAAGUUGUAUCAUUCAUCUUCACUUUUGGUGUGGCUACCUCCCUCUCCUCCCUCGCGCAUAUCUUGAUGUUGGAUAUCAACACUUGAGGAUCUGUACCCUCAUCAUCCUCCCCUUCUUCAAAAAGCGUUGUCCUCAACGCUGAAAGGUCUUUUCCAGCGGGUGGAGUCAGAUCAGCAACAUUGCCACACUCCAUCUUCAAGCCUCGCCAGCCUGCCACACCACGUCCUCCCUCUCGGCUAGCUUGACCUGCCCUCGGCGCCACUUCGGUUGUCGGCGCCACCAACCUGAUUGAGACAUAAAGCAUCCUCCGAAUGUAACGAAGCACACCUCGCAUAUCACCCCGAACAAACAGGACAAAUUCUUGUACGCUAAGAGUCCAAAUAAGCUGAGUACACCCGUAUGUGCAAUUUGUUGGAAACCAAUAUCUCCUUUUCCUUUUAAUCCUUUCCUUGCUGUCCUCGUGAAGCCACAAACUUCUCGGAACUCGGAACUUGCUGGAACUUGCCGGGACUUGCCGAAACUUGUCAGGACGUGCCGUGAAGUCGGAUAUGAAUUUCUUGGCUACACGUGCACACAUAAAUCUCCUCUUGCCUUUUUUUUUCUUUUUUUUCGUAGCAAUCUAUACCAAGAUGAUAAGGGAUGGCCCGAUCUUCUCAGAGAGCAACGAGAAUAACUUGUAUGAUUCUACAAAUCUUCCGGCUGUUCACUCGUCCCCACACGACGAACUUGCAACCCAAUGGAAAUUCGCAACACCACACAUUUGCGCAGUAGUCCGCCGACCAUAAGCCAUUUCGCAAUCUUCAAAUUCCCAGCGGAACGAUAGAUUAUGCUCGAACUUUCAGUAGAUAAAACACUCUAUCGAAACGAAUAUGGUGUAGGUAAAAUUGCUGAUCGAAAGAAAGAGGAAUUAUAUACUUUCAGAUGAAUGCUUGGAGCAAUUCAACAAAAAGUUCUGAAUCAGCUAAACCGCGGUCUUCCCUAAACCUAGGCGUACCCCUUGUUUAUAUAGACGAGGAGUAGCCCAAACUCAAUACAGACUCAGACUCAAAUUCAAACUAGAAUUCGACUCAGACUAGAAUUCGAAUCAGACUCAAACUAGAACUAGAAUUCGACUCAGACUCAAACAUGGACUCGCAGAUCCGAGCACUCCUUAGACGUGCCGGACUCGUCGUACGCUGUCCUAGUGCGCCUCAUAUUUGUACACGACUUGUGGUGCAUCCUGGGCAUAUCAUCCUUGUCGUUGGCUGCCCCUUGCACACAAGACAUUCUUCUAAGUUGUAUCAUUCAUCUUUAUUUUUGGUGCGCGUGCCUCUCUUUCCUCCCUCGCGCAUAUCUUGAUGUUGGAUAUCAACACUUGAGGAUCGUACCCUCAUCAUUUAGCAUGUCAUUACAAUCAGAUACUCACUCCGUCCCAUAUUAAGUGUCUCAAAUUUUUCCAAAUAUGGAUGUAUCUAUGCCUAAAAAGCGUUUAGAUACAUGUAAUAUUUCGACACUUAAUAUGGGACGGAGGGAGUAGGAUAGAAAGAUAGUCAGUCGAGAAAGCAGACAUAUAUCAAAGAUAAAAAGAAUUAAAACAUGAUGUCUUAGGAUAGAGAAUGUAACAAGAGAGCAGCUAUAUGAUUAUAUAUGCUUGUUUACCAUAUAUCUUAGUUGGAUAGGACAAAAAUCAAAGAAAAUCUUUGAAUGAAUUCUCCAGAUUGGACAUGCUAAUUAUGUUCUGCUUUGUGCCCAAACAGAAUGUCUUAGGGUAGUAACGAUCAAUUUUGGCACCAAAUAAUAUACAUGAUGGCAUUGCCAAUUCUAAGUAUACCAUUUUCUAAAUUAUUUUAACAGUCGUCCAAACAUGUUUGCUAGGAGUACCAUUUUAGAGCACCAUAGAAUGGUCUGGAUGGUUAAAGCGUGUACUUGUAGAAGUACACUGCUUUCCGUUAUUCUCAAAUAUAUUUUUCUAAUAUGGUCCAAUAGUUCAUCCAAUAAAAUAUACUUACUCGGUCCCAUAUUAAAUGAUUCAAAUUUGCCCAAAUAUGGACGUAUCUAUGCCUAAAAAGUGUCUAGAUACAUGUAAUAAAAGUCACUUAAUAUGGUACGGAGGGUGUAGUAAUUUAGUAAAAUCGAAGGUGAGACUUAACACAAAGAAUAGUCAAUAAGCUAUUUUGAGAUAAGACAGGAUGAGAAGACAAAUCUCAUACAAUGCAAAACAUGAAUAAACAAGUGUAGCAAAGAAAAAAUAGUGAAAAAAACCAAGAUACAAAAUUAGCUGUCAAUAAACUUGCCCCAUCACUUAUUUGUGGUGGUGCCAGGAAAAAUGUAGAAACCUGACGAGUUAUUCAGUCAAUAUGAUCAGAAACUUGGAGUUGAUCUUGGAGACGCAUGACUUGUAAACUGGGAACUCGAUCCACUUUAUAUAUGGUACGUCUACGUUGCCAGCUAGGGCUACACAACCACUACGUCAGUUUCUAUAUAUAAGAGGUUCUCACUUUGUCCUAACAUCUAGAAUAUCAAAUAAAUAUACUACGAAAAUAUAUAUCAUGAUGGUUUUGAUAAAACUAAUUUAUAGUCGUAAAUGUUGAUACAUUUUUUUUUAUAAAUUUGGUCAAAUUUAAAAAGUUCGACUUGGAACAAAGAUAUAACUUUACAUUUAGGAACGAAUGGGGUAUUCAUCUAGAUAUGGAAUAAGAAUGACACAUCGCAAGAGCCAGAGCUCAUACAUGCUUAUCGAUGUAAGUAUAUUGCCGCUACUAUUCGGUGUGAUCAAUCACAAUCUAGCCACGCUAAAAGCAAAUAAGUUUAAACAUGCAUUUUAUAGUGAUCUAAUUAAUAAAAUCAACCAGAGGAAACUCACUGGUGACUUAACAGUGGCAAAAAGAAGCCCCAAGAAACGCCAAACACUUCCAUAACAGGGUACAAAACUACAAAUAAUUGACAAUGCGGCUGCGUGGUCACUCAAGAAAGUCCCAAGAAGCAUAAAAAAUUCCCAUAAGAGGGCAUGCAAUUUUCUUUUGUAUAUCUUGUUGUAUCAUUAAUCUUUCCUAUAAAAGAGAUCAGCAAUUUAUUGUCAUUACUAUUUCAAGAAUAUUGGACUACGUAAAUCCUAGACAAAAUCCGAUCCACUCGUACUAAAGAAUCGGAACAUUUCAACUGAAAUUCAUCUUAUUUAUUACUCAUGAAAAGAUAGAGAAUGAGAGUGCAACUCGAAUCAUCUCAAAAACCAAUCGAAUAUUUCGUAUGAGUAAUUAGGGGUACAUCCGUUUUAAUAUGUCCCGUGUCAUGCAAGCUCAGGUAGGCUAGCAGCCUAACACCUAGUUUGUCUCAACAUCGGAGCAAAGCAACACUGCCCAUCUGAUUAGCUAGCUCGUUAAGCGGUUAAAGCUCAGUUCCGUAUCGGUUUGAGAGAUGAACAUGGUCUUGUCCGUGCGGGAGAGCUGUUUCUCUCCUGUGAUAUGCGUUUUGCUACAGUUACCGCAUUGUUUAACAAAACCAAAGGUUAGGUGCUACCGAGUGAUCUGCCAAAUAAGGAUGCAGAUGUAAGAAGGUGAGGACCACGCAUUGCUUCACGGGUUAACGAAAAUAUUUGCAACUCAGUGUUCAACGUCAGUUUAAAAAAAAAAUGUUCAACGUCACAGACGUCGUUUGGACUUUCUUUCUCCGUGACAUAUGCGCGUGCGUGCAGAGAGAGUUGUUCGCAGGCCCAGGCAGCAGCGAGGUGAGGUCGACUGGAUCCCGGCCGCAUAACGCUCACUCUCUCCUUCCCCUCCCAUGGCGCCUUCCCUUCCCAUCCCCACCCCACCCCUCAAACCCUAACUCCAAGCCGCAUCAAAUCGAACGGAACUUAAAUCAAAUCGACGAGAAAAAACGAACGAAAACCAAUGGAUCGCUCCCGCUCGAAGCGCGGGUAUCACUACGACGAGGACUCGCCUCCGCCUCGCUCCAAGCCCCGUUUCGACCGCCGUGGCGGUGGAGGAGGCCCGAACCCUAAUUCCAACUACCACCGCCGUGGACCCACUGGAGGCGGCGGCGGUUCUGACCGCCGUGGUGGCUUUAUUCCGUCAGACGGCGCGCCGCCCCCGCUCCCGCCCCCAGCACUUCCCCCUUCUUCCUCUGCGACGAUUGGGGGCGGUGGCCCUGGCGGCCCCGGCCAGGCCACAUCCUUCCGCAUCCUGUGCCCGGAAUCCAAGACCUACGGGUUCCCCGCCAGCUUCAUCAUCAAGGCGCAGGAUGACAGUGGCGCGAUCAUCACUAUACACGCGCCCUUCGCGGGGGACCCGGUCCGCGUCAUCGAGAUGGCUGACGGCGUGCCGCGCGACGUGGAUGGCCGCCCGCCCAUGUUCUCGCCGGCACAAGAGGCGCUCAUCAUGGUGCACCGGAGGAUCCUGGAAACGGAGCCUGACGACGGGGAUGAGGACGGCGAGUAUGGGCCCAGGGGCAAGGACGCCCGUGACCGUGGAAAGGUGACCACACGGCUUGUCGUCCCACGGCUGCAUGUAGGAUGCCUGCUUGGCAAGGGUGGCAAGAUCAUCGAGCAGAUGAGGUCCGAGACCAAGACGCACAUCAGGAUCCUGCCACGCGAUCAGAACACUCCGCGCUGUGUAUCAUUGUCGGAGGAGGUUGUACAGGUAUGUAUGGUGUCUGCUACAAUGUUGUAAAUAUAUGCUACAAUGUUGUAAAUAUAUCUAUUCUCGUUUUGGUAAGAGAGCAUUAACAUCGGUAUUUUGAGUGGAAUAUAAGAUAUGGCUCCACACCAUUCUAAACUGUUAGGGGGGCUUACAUAAGGAAAAAUAUUUGUGUUAAUGACAUACUCCGUAUUAUGCUAUGCGUUGGAGAAGACUUAGGCCUGUUCUGGUGAUCUUUUUACUCUAGGAAAUUAGAAAUCAUCAUUCCGUGGAUAAAGUAUUUGUGGUAAACAGAGUUUUGGCUAAUACAAUAAUUGCUUCAUAUGAUAUCAAACUGUAGUGGUGAUUAGGUAGCUUGGCUAAGUUCAUUAAUUAUUAGUCAUUUUGUUAGGAGAACAAUAAGCUGGACCCUACUGGUAGGUUUAUUGGACCGAUUUGCUGCUCUUUGAGAUUCUAUUGCUGUAGAGAAAUUGGACUGCUUUGGUAACCCAGUAUAUAUUCAGGUUUGAAUAAGCCGAAGGUGCCUAAUGGACUGUGUAGACUGACAUGUGCUGUAGUAGGAGGAUAAUCAUUGACAUAGCACAUGGAAAAGCAAAUUUGUUUCCUGAUCAAACUGAAUAUUCCCAGAUUCAAACAAUACUAGUAAAAACUAAGAAGCAUAGAGCUAAAUACAAGUCAACAGACAAAUGUUCAAACUACUAUUUUAAGUUAGUGAGGCAAUGCCUCAUCUUCUACAUACCUCGAGAUUGGGUUUUGAUGAUGGACCGCUAACCUUUUCCUCCUAGCUCUCAUAAUUCUGUUUAGUGAUCACCCUGAUUCCCAAGAUGUGUCCUGCUCAAGAAUUGUACUAGGCUGGUAGCUAUGCAUUUGUUCUGGAUCCUUUUCUGGUAAUGUUAAACUUAUUAAUACUGGCUUAAACACGAUACUCACUGUCUUCUAGGCAGUCACUCACUGAUGGUUCCAGACUCAUCUUUUCACACGUCAAUUUAAAUAUGAAAGUUUUGAAAGUUAUUUUAAUCUGCCAGGUACUUGCUGAAGAACUAUUCCGACAUCAUAUAUUCCUAUCAUCAUAUAAUUAUGAUUAUGAUUGUGGAUGCUUGACAGGGCAUAUUACCUUUUUGUUCCCUGACUUCGCUUUCACUGUAACUUGUGUACUAUUCCCAUGAUAUGUUGUUGCAGAUUGUUGGAGAAGGGAAUUGUGUUAAAAAGGCUGUAGCAAUCAUCUCUGACCGUCUAAAGGAAAGCUUACACCGUGAUCGUGGUCCCUUCCGUGGUCGCAAUUCACCGGAGCAUCGGAUUUCCCAGGCUGACGAAUAUCAGCAGAUGCCUGCAUAUGAAGAACCUUUUGCCCGAUUUGAUCAAAUUAGAAAUAACGGUAGUAUGGAGCCACCAGGAUACGAGUUUGAUUCAAAUGGUAGCAAGUUCAAUGAACAUCCAGAGUUUCCAUAUGAUGAAAUCAUAUUUCGAAUUCUUUGCCCAAAUGACAAGGCUAACAAUUUAGUUGGAUCACGUGAUGGAAUACUAGAGAUGUUACAGGUUGAAGUUGGUGUUGAUGUUAGGCUUACUGAUCUUGUUGUUGGAUCUGAUGAAAGGACCGUAAUCAUCACGUCGAGAGAGGUAAAUGACAUUACUCAUCACUCUACAUACUGUUCUGUAAUUCGAGUACUUAAUGAAGAUCUGUAUACACACCAACACACUGACCCGUGUCAGCCUGAGGGCUUAGACUACUCAUAGUGGGGGUAACUUAGGUAGUAACAUGAGAUGCCAACUAUGCAUUUUGGUGACAUGGCAUGGUAUUAAAUGAAGAAAGAGAGGGAGGUGGUAACUAGAUAUGUUACCAUAACAUCACACAAAACAAGGCAAGAUGAGUCUACAACCUAAUAAAUGACACAAUGCAUGACACCACAUAUAUGUUACUACCCACUAUGGAGGUAGUAACUUAGACUAGUACUCCCUCCGUUCCUCAAAGAUUGGCAUAUUAGCUUUCAUUAAGACAAGGCUUUGACCACAAAUUACUAUGUUAAAUUGUGGUUUAUAUGACAUGAAAUCACAAGUAUCAUGAAGUACUUUUGAUAACGAAUCUAGCGAUACUAAUUUUACGUCAUAUAAAAUACAUCUUGAUAUAGUAAUUUGUGGUCAAAGGCUUGUCUUAAUGAAAGCUAAUAUGCCAAUCUUUAAGGAACGGAGGGAGUAACAUAUACAUGUUACUACUCUAAGUUACUCCCCACUAUGACCAGCCUUACUGCUUGCCUGCCUUGCCCACUGAAAUAGGUAGGCAUUGCGGAAAGUUAGGAGUUAAGAGUGGUUACCUUAAAUAGUGAGUUUGGAUUCUGUAUCUACUUCAGUCUGUUAGGUAAUCCCUCUCUAUAUAUAUCGAUAAACAGCCAGACAGAAGCUAUCUCUUGCGUUAAAAAAACCCCGAAAAGACAGAAGCUAUCUCUAAUCUUCCUCCUCUCUUGGUCAAACUCUCCUGUUGGCACACUGCCCUUGGCUGAAGUGACACCACCCCGCUGCCGAAUCCCAUGGUACAGGACCUUGGUACAGGACCUUGGUACAGGACAUUGGAUAUGAGUUAUCUAUUCAAGGCAGUGAAGUUACAAUUUUUCUAAAUGCUGGAAUGGAAGGCAUGAUUAUGAACUUGAAAUUUCACAUCAUUUUGGACUUUUUCAAAAACAUUAGUUUUUCCUGUUAUAUAUUGGUAAAAUUAUAAGAUUACAAGCUUCUAGGAAUUAUUACUUAAAAAAUGAUCAUUUUUUCAGAUGGCCAGUCAUAACUCAUAAGUUAACAAUGGUCAAUACUGAAUUGUCAAAGAAUUUUGGUCUAGCAUACAUUCAAAAGUAGCAUUGGCGUAUUGCUCUUGGGAUGGUGGAAGUAAAUUGUUUCAUUGUUCACUAUAAGGCUGUAAUAUGUUUUUUUAACUGAACAGUAAAUGAGGCCCCAAAAUUAUAUUAUUAAAAAAAUGAAAAUAUUUACAACAAAGGAUUGGAAAUGUGCACAAAACAAGUCUGUUCACUAUAUUAUGGUAUCACGACAUGUUGAAGUCUACAUAUUUACGUAUGAAGUUAAAUUGCCUUAUACUUGCUUGUGCUUCGUUUUGAAGCAUGUGAAUAAAUAAACCGUAAGUCAGUUGGAAGUCUGUUGGUCUAUUACUUUGGAUCUCAGUUGGACUCAUCAGGUUCUGUGAUCAAAACAUGCCUGCCCAACAUAACACUUCCAAAUUUGAAGGACUCUGCAUGGCUUGUGUGCUUUUAGGAAGCUUGGUAAGCAUCUGUUAUACUGAUUCAUGAACAGAGUUGUGGGUGAGUUUAUUUACAGACUUGGAAGCUGGAACAAGAGUUGGGUUGCAGUUCUGUCGAUUUCUCAAAUUUUACAUUUUUAGCUUUGACAAACUACAUAAUCAGUAUCAACGGUCAACACAUAUAAAGGUUGCUUCUUCAGAUGGAUAGUCCAUUUUCUCCCGAAUAUGUUACUGAUUGUGCCACUAGUUUAAAGUUGUAUACUCGGUAUACUUACUAAGUUGCUAACUGGCAAUUACCUUGUUUGAGUGAUCUUGACUUGUUGCCUCAUGAGAAUCAACUAAAUUAGUUAGUUUUCCUUUUAAACCUGUUAAGGAAGUUUAGAAGUUGUCUAAAUUAAAUCAAACUAUGAUAUCUGAAAUAUCGAGCAAGGUUUCCCUUUCAAUAUCCCCACAAGAAAUAAUAUCUAACUGUUAUAUGUUAGCUAAUUACGCUGUUCAGUUUUAUCUGUAUAGUAGCCAAUCUUCAGAUCUGUGGAGCAACUCUAUUCGAGAAAAGGCUCCUCAUAUUAUUGGUUAAUUCACAGCAGUAUCUGCUUGCAUGUAACCUCACUUUGACCUUUUGUUGUGAGUUGUGACGCAUGUAUACUAUGAUCUCUGUUUAUUUUAAUUACUAAUUUUUGGUGUUGUUUGAUGUCUUAUGCACUUAUGAAAUGUAUAUACUUGUGAACGACUGCCAGUUUGGAAUUUUGCAUCAGCUAUCAUUUUUAACUGUAAUUUAGGAUCACUUUAACCCCUCACGUAUUUCAUUUUUAUAUUCCUAACAUAUCGUUGAUUAUGAUAUAGGGCCCAGACCAUGAGCUUUUCCCAGCUCAGGAAGCAUUGCUGCACAUCCAAACCCAUAUAGUAGAUCUGGGCCCUGACAAUGAUAACAUUAUCACAACAAGGUUACUUGUCCCUUCAAGUGAAGUUGCUUGCUUUGAGGGAAGGGAUGGAUCAUUAUCUGAUAUACAGAGACAAACUAGUGCGAAUGUACAGAUAUUACCAAGGGAGGAACUUCCAUCUUGCGCUCUUGAAUCUGAUGAACUCAUACAGGUUGGUCUUCAAUUGCAGUACACCUUCACUUCUGCUAUACAAGAAUUUAAACAGGUAGCGGAGAUCCAUCUGCAAACACCUACAUGGCUGCAUUAUAGAUUUUUCUCGAAAUUUUUGUCAAUUGUUUGAGAGGAAUGCAGAUUGGGAUUUCUUGGCCAUAACCUAGAAUGACCUUUGCCCAAAUACAGUGGAGUCUUGUUUCGUUCUUUGCUUUUUUAGCCGAGCUGGAGUUGACCUAUUUUUCUAGUUGUUUUUUGCUCAUCAGGGGGAUCUUUAGGUUGCACAUUUUAUCAUAAAGUUCUAUGCUAGUAGUCAUUGUUGCCGACACGAAUCCAACUUUUUUCUAUUGUUUAAGUUUGAAGUUCAUUGGCCUACAACAUUAUGUUUUUAUAGAUUGUUGGAGGGAUUAGAGCUGCUCGAAGUGCUCUCAUGCAAGUCACUACGAAAAUACGGAGUUACAUAUACCGUGAGAUGUCUGUUCCUAACCAAAUUGCCAGCAUUAAUGUACAUGGAUCCAUUCCUCCAGCAAAUGGCUCACCUCGAGGAAUAUACCCUGGAAAUGACCUUCCAAUGGCUAUCUACCAGCAAUCACAACAAAUGACAACUUCAUGGCACUCAAAGGUAUUGGUGAACCUCACUGCCUGCCUUCAUCCUUAUGUACAGACGUUUAUAUGCCUCUGAAGUAUUCUUACCACUGAUUUCUCUUCUUGUCACAUGUUCCACAUAGACCUGCUGUCUUACAAUCAUGGCCAUCUUCUAUCUGUUUCUUUCGAAAUGUGGUUGGUUGUGCCACAUACAUAAAUUGACUGUUAAAUAUCACAAUCAGUGGGUUAUAAACUUAACAAAACAGUUACCUAAAUGGUUAAUAAUCAUGGGAAAUAUGAUCUGAAUAUUUGUACUGUAUGCAAAUAGAGUUAUAGUGCAUGUAACUGCUCUUGUAGUUUUAUUUCUGGAGUCUGAUGAUUAUGUUUGGACCGUACAUUUGGUAUGUUCAGGAUAGUGGAGGUAGUGCAAGUGGAUCAUUUGAGCAAGGGAGCAACAUUAAUGAUGAUAUAAGGAGUACUAUAAAACGGUAAAUUUGGGUCUUCAGCGCUAAUUCUUCUAUCUUGUUGAUCCAUGACGACCUUACUCUUUUUCCAUCAGAUUUGCUGUUCCCUUAGUGACUAGAAGCACAUUAGAAGUUGUCAUACCAAAGAGUGCUGUUGCAAGUCUCAGUAUGAGGGCUGGAAGCAAGCUUGCCCAAAUAAGUGAGGUGCUAUAUAUCCUGAACUUUUUAGUGAAAUGAAGGCAGACAGUUCCAAACCAUUCUAACUUUCUAACCUCUGUUGGUAACAGAUGUCUGGUGCCUCUGUCACACUUGGUGAAGACAGACCUGGAGUCAUGGAAAAAGUUGUUCGAAUAUCUGGUACCCCUGAGCAAGCCGACAAAGCUCAGAGCCUGCUUCAGGGGUUUAUACUUAGCAGUGAGUAUUUCUCUUCCUGUCCCUCUAUCUGUAUUAUUCCUUUAUCCUCUGCACUUUGAAAAAUAUGUAACUCUUAUCUCCUUUCCACUGCCCAGUCCAAGAUGAUAUUCCUUCAGGGUAACGGAGUUAUUGCUGCGGCUUACACACCACCUGUUCAGUAGGUGUCAUUUGUUCAAUUUAACCUUGUUUUAUGAAUUUCCUGCGUAUUCAGGUGUAGUACAUGAGUUCUUAUGAGGUAUUUAUUUUUUAGUUUGUAUGAAUUUUCCCUGAUUAGAUCUUGUAUCUUUAUGUGCAAAGUGUUCCUGUACGAUGUUCUCUGAACUUUAUCUAUUUAAGCUGUUGCGUUAUAUUAAGUAGCGAAAAUGAUCGGGAUGGACUAUUGAAAAUGAUUACCUAAAGCACACUAUGUACUAUUGAAGAUUAUUUCUACCAAUAUCCCUUUCGAUUUGUAGGAAAAUUACAUGAUACCUUCCAAUAUAACCCAAGAUGGCACCUGAUCUCAUUCCGACUUUUCCUUUUGAAGGGAGAACCCUCUAGGUGCACAUCCGUACCUGCUUGUGUGCUUUUAUCUCGUGCUGAUGAUAUGCUAAAUACAUUUGGAAUUUAUCCAAAUAUAUUAUUUGGAACUGCUGGUUGUUUAAAGGCAUGCUAUUUGCUAGUGAAACAAAUCAUGUUAAAGCCUGAAGAAACUAGGCAGGCUCUCAGAUCUUGAUUAUAUGUAUAUAUGAAUUAGUCAUAUGUCCAGUUUACCUGCUAAGAACUGGUUCGGUUUUCCCCCCUAAUCUAGUAGAAAUGUCGUCAAACAUAAUGUAUGGAUUUAUGCAUGGAGUUGCAAUGAUGUACUAGCCUAUCCCAACUUGCUUGGGACAAAAGGUUUUGUUGUUGUUGUUGUUGUUGUUGUUGUUGUUUUACAGAAGACCGUAUCAUCUAGCAACAUAGUACAGGAUAAACCUAAAAGAGCUUAGGCUUUGUCUAUUACAAGGAGAGGCAUCUUCUAAUGAGAAGAAUCGGUACAAGUUAGAGAAGGAACGUUUGCAGCAUUCUUUUUGCCCUGUGUGCUGGAUGGUGAGCAACAGUGUUCUUGUCCCUAGAAACAUGACGAAAUGAAGCCUCCUUGGGAGUUGUAAGGGCAAUGAUGUAGUAAGGGUGGAGUUGUAAGUGCAAUGAUGUAGUAAGGGCAUCUCCAAUGGUUGGUACGAAGCAGGUACUUCUCAUAUGUGGAGAGAAAGAAAAAGAUAGUACCAGUUACUUGUAGAAGCAACAGAUUUCUACGCAGGUACGAAGAACAAAAAGAGAAUGACAUGCGGACCCAUUAGAAAAAAGAAGUGAAUAGAAAAGUGAAAGAGGAGAGAAAAACCAUGGAAUAAAAAUUAGUAACAGCUUGUUGAAAAUGCCCUAUUUGCUCCGCUGAUGUUCCGGUGUCCUGGAGACUGCAAACGUCACCUGCCUUGCAAUCCCUCCAUGCGCAGCUUCAACCCUGGAAGAUUCAAUGCUUCCAGAAGGCUUGCUGCAAGACACAGGCCAGAAGCAACCCUGAAGAGGUGAGGACCCUGGGGGUGGAGAUGGCUUGAAUUUGUGCAUCCACCUAUGACCACUGAAAAUGCCAAUGUUGGCUGGAACGUGUAAAGCAUGAAGAGUAGAGAGUUUCCAAGCUGCGUCUGAGAAGAUUAGAAGGCUAUCAGUGAAGGAGACCUGUUCAUAAUAAUUCUAAAUGUUAGGCGCUAAAUUAUGAGGACGGGGCAGGUUACAGCUAGCAAGGCCUUGAGCAUUAUGGUGAACUUGCAAAGGAAAGCUAAGACUUCUAUUGAAUAAACAAUUAUUUCUAGAUUUCCAAAGACACCAAAGAAAAGUGGAAACAUUUUGAAUAGAAGCAUGAGCGUGGCCAGAAGGAGGUUAUGGUAGGAGAAAUUUAAUUGUUUUGCUCGACAGAAACCUCCUUAUGUACCAGGCUAGGCUUCCUCUGAAAUGGGGCAUAGGAGGAGGUGAACGUCAUCUUCAAUCAAGCAUCAUCUGGAGCAAGAUUUGUUAUCAUGUUUGAUGAUCGUACAUUCUAUUUUACCUGUUGGAAGGGCUCUCCUGAUGAGGACCCAUGCAAAUGUUCGAAUACUGGACAUCAGGGUUUUUAUUCAAGAUCGUCGACUUUAGCAGGGUAGCUGUAAGGAGGAUUCCGAAAGAUAUGAGAUGCCCUUUGGGUGUCUUUUAUUAAAAAGAAGGAUCACUCCAAACAUCCAAGGGAAGGAUCACUCCAAAUGGAGUUGUUCCCAUCCGCAAGUUAGUGGUAGAGCUGCAAAAUUGUGACCCCCGGGGUACCCUUUGAUCCUACUUAGUUCAACCAAAUGAACUAAAAUUUUAGAACGACAUAACUUUUUGGAAAACUAGUUCAUUGGUUUGAACUAAGGAGGGUCAAAGGGUACCCUAAGAGUCACCAUGUUUCACCUCUAGUUAGUGUGGAUGCCCAAAAGGCUUUUUGGGAAAAUAGAAUCUUGAAAAUAUUUUGACCUGUGGAUAAGAGCAUAUUGAGUGUUGGGCUUGUUUGCAAGGCUCCAAGCUGCCACAACCAAAAGGUUCUCUUGUUCAUGCCAUGCAUGUCACGAACUCCGAGUUCACCAUGUUUCUUAGGGUAACUCCAGCGGGGAGACCCAUUUGUGUUCGUUUGGGCCAAACGGAUUCUCCCAUCCACUUUUGGGUCUGCCACUGCCUCAGCGAGGACACCCACUUGGUUCGUUUUAUUACUCAUGGACAUGCGCAAUGCAAAAACGACGUGCGCCACGACCAAACCCAGAGCAAAUUUGUGUCGGAAAUGGGUCGUGUCCGGACCAAAAAGCGGAUUUGGAUGUCCAUUUUGCCCAAACGGACAAAAUGGAUGGCCCCACUGGGAUGGCUUGCAAAUGCCAAUCCAAGCCCAGAGACACAUGCGCUCUCCUCCUUACCUAACACCCCGUCUGUCAAAAAAUUCUAAUAAUAGCUAUAAGUUUUUGGAAAAAGAAUAUAGGGAUGGAAGAAAAAUUUGUGAGAAGUUCCCUGGCAUUGAACCCAUUAAGUUUGUUUUUGAACUUGUCAAUGAUGAAAUCAUAGGCCGAGGACCUGUCUGUCCAGAAGAAUGAGAUGCUCCAAAUGAAAACAGUGACAUUAUCCAAAUCUUGCACGGGCAAAAUGUUGUUGAUCGGGGCAAUAUUAUAUGAGUAUCAACUUUCUUGCUACAGAGGAUCGCAGCUCCGGUUUGGAGUUAACCGGAGUUAUGACAAAAAUCAGCAAGAAUAUCAUUAAUAGUAGUUGCCUCAACAGUGUUAGUACGACUGCAGAUACGUGAUAGCCUCGAGGGUGUCCCGAUCUUUCGAUGAGAUACCUAAUUAUCGAUUUGGUAAGAGGUGACGUUGACGAUCCGACUACAACCUUGGAGGCAGCGCUUUAGCGAUCGAUACACCAACUCCAGAAGAUUAUUGAUCCCGCGGGGGCACGAUCAACCUGACCACGAAGGUCUUUGUUCCUGCAAGCAAUCGAAGAACAAGCAAGAACAAGAUGAAAAGUAAUCUGAAAUUGCGAAUAGGAGAUAUGAAGGUUCACGAAUCUGAAUACUCAAUAUAGUUGGAGUCUUGAUGACGGUAAAACAGGUGGUCUAACCGACACACGCGAUUACAUGAAAGUAGCAAAGGCUAAAACUUUAUCUAAUCAAAACCCAAUGCUUCAUGGGGGGGGCUCAUGGGGUUUAAAUAGUGAUGUGGGUCGAGGUGGCCCAAUCUUUCGAUGAGAUUGAUAACUCUCGAUUUGGGUAGGAGGUGACGUUGACGAUCCGACUACGGCCUAGGAGGCAGCGCCUUAGCAAUCGAUACACCAACUCCAGAGGGUUAUUGAUCACGCGGGGGCACGAUCAACCUGACCACGAAGGUCUUUGUUCCUGCAAGCAAUCGAAGAACAAGCAAGAACAAGAUAAAUAGCAGAUGCAAUCUAAAAUUGCAAAUAUAUUAUAUCAAACCAAUGUCUCAACGAGACGAUAAGUUGGAGUCUUGACGACGGUAAAACAGGUGGUCUAACCGACACACGCGAUUACACGAAAGUAGCAAAGAUGGCUAAACUUUAUCUAAUCAAAACCCAAGGCUCCUUAGGGGGGCUCAUGGGGUAUAUAAAGGAGGAGGGAGAGAUAUUUUCGUCCACCUUGAGUAAGGAGGCCGAAAUCCAACUCUAUCUCUAAGUUUCCUAACAAACUACAACUCUUUAGGAAACAGAAAAACAGAUCCGUCAGCUUGUUUUGUCCGUCACGGUCAGCACGAGUCGAAUCUCUUGAUUGGGCCAGAUCCCUUGGAAAGGUCUUGUAAUUACCUUUCCAACAAGUACUUGUUUGCUUGAUUUGGACUCCGGAUGCGGCCUGGGUGAUUAAAACAAAUUCGGGUCUCCUGGCAGCUCGGACCCGGAGCGGAUUCAACUUUAAUUCGUGAUAUCUUUCUCUAGCAAGCUCCGAAUCAUGUGCCGUUUGAUUUGUUGGAAAGUACACUUGAAAUCCUUCCUGUCAGCUGUAUGAAUGCUUGAUUCUUGUUGGCCCUCCCGUUCGCCUCCAUCGUAUCUCAUCUUGACAUUGGACAUGAAAAGCUCGACAAGAUGCCUACGUAAUAAAACGAGACAAGAUAGUAGUAGCUCCGCCUCUUCAUAAAUAUGACAAUGAAAAAAAUUACUACCUGAAUUCACCUGAUUAUAAAUCUUGUCAAAUAUUAUAAAAUUGAGGGUACCAAAGGUCGUAUCCAUGGUUAGCAUGUCCAUAUCAUCCUCCCUUUCUUGAAAGGAAAACCGUCCUCGGCGUCGUUUGUGCUGUAAAGAGACUGACAAAAUAGACAAAGUGUGUGCAUGGUAUAUGUAUAUGUCAUCCAUCUUUAUACAUCUUCUUUCUUGCACAACUAAUCUUUUAUAACAAAGUUUCAUGAGAUAAUUGUAAAACAAUCAUGAUGAAUAACAUUCCAGCAAGAAGAUUGACAAUAUUGUUUGCAUUUAUAAGCGAAACGAUUUCUUGUAUUUGGUUUGCACCACCAUUGCACCAUCCCAACAUUGGAGAAUAAUAAUGAAUAGUAUCCAAAUUAGUUACUACAAUAUGCUGAAAUUUAGAGCAAGUCAAAGCACUAAUAUUCAAACAAGCAUGUAAAUAACUAUUUGGCAAAUAAUCAACACAUAUAUUGGAGGUCCUAUCAAAAUGAUUAAGCAUGGUAAUGCAAAUCUCAUGCACCAAAAUGUUAUUGUUCACAUCAUGUUGUCCAAUUAAAUGAAUUGUGUAUCCAUGAACAGCAAAAGAUUUCGAAAUUGUUAACUCACACAGUUUAUCCAUUGCAUGCGACAAAUACAUGGGACUAUCAAGUGCAAUAUAACACAAAGAAUUAAUAGGUGGAUCGUUCUCAAUCACUCCAUGUGUAAUUAACUCGACACAACCUAAACCAAAUUUAUCUACAUCACAUGUUUCUCCGAAAACAUUAGUUAUUUCCUCACAUGAUUCAUUCUCAUCAAUAUCAAAAUUAAUAUGUGCACUCAAAUCAUUAGAAGAAUUAAUUUCAGCAGUAUGUGCACUCAAAUCAGCAUGUAAAUCAACAAUUUCACAUGGUGCAGAAAAUUCAACGGGUAUCUCAUUUAUUUCAUCACAUGUCAUAUUUUGUUCAGUAACACAAUCAUCUUUAUCAUUACCUUGUAGGCUCAACACGUUUCUUGUACACCUUCUCUCCAAUUUCCUCUCCGCUUCACGAGCAAGAUUAAGCAAACACAAUAGAGAGUCGUAUUUUCCGUAUUCAAUUAUGUAAGAAAUAUCAAAGUUAAGCCCACAAUAAAAUCUAUCCAUUUUUCUUUGUUCGGUUUCAUCUAAACCAAACCGCAAUCUUAUAACUUGGAACUCAUGGUAGUAAACAUCAACAGAUUUAUCAUCUUGUGUCAAACGUCGUAGCUGUGAGUGCAAGUUAUUAGCAUAAUUAAAAGGAACAUAUUUUUCUCUCAUGAUUUUCUUCAUACCAACCCAAGUGUGGGGAAUUUUCUUUUCUCUAACUAUCUCAGUCCACCAUGAUAAUGCAUCAAAACGAAUUCUACUACUAGCAAUUUGGACCUUACGACUAUCUAGUACAUGGAAGCAUGUGAAUUGCUCAAUUAGAGCUAUUUCCCAAUCAAUAUAAGCUUCAGCAUCAUUAUUUCCAUCAAAGAAAGGUCCAAAACAAUUAUUGACAUUACAAGGAUUGCGAUAUACCUUUUCCUUGCCAAUGUCAACAAGAGACGAGGAGGAUGGAUGUGGUGAAAAACGCUCAUGUCGGUCACUUGAUAGCAUAGGCCUAUUUUCCAUCCUUCGUGUAAGUCCUGUCAUGGUUAGUAUAAGACAAGAAACAAAACACAGGAAUAUGUUCCUAUCAACUAAUAGGAUGUGGCUACAAGUCGCUCAACUCUCAAGCUAAAAAUCAAGUUCUUACAAGUUCUUACCAUGCAAAACAGGAAGGUGAUGGCCAGCGGCGUAACCAACACCUCCGGAGAUUAAAUGUAUCGAUGCCUCGGUAACAAACCAACCUAGGUGUAGAAUCUGUGGAGCUUGGAGACUUUUGUGAGUAGCAAGGAAUAGCAAAUAAUCAAAUCAGCAAUGCAAAGUUGAAAAUAUGCUCAAUAAUGCUAGUCCUAGCUGCUGGAGUCGAUAAGAACGAAUUACAGAAAUAAUCUAACCCUAGAUACUGAAGAAGGUACGAUAGAAAGAUGGCACAACAAGUAAAUCCCUGGGAUUUUUUUUUCUUUUUUUUUCUUUUUGUGGCCUUCUGUUUGGCUUCUUAUUCUUUUCUUCUUCUUUUUUUUUUCUUUUUUAACCCCAGAAACUCACGCAAAAGAAGGAUCGGAAAACUGUACGUCGGUCUGUCGAAGAACAGCAAAGGCUGCAGUAAGAAAAAUUCAGAAAAAUAUGGAAAAAUAUGGGUUUGGAAGGGUAUCGACACAAGCUUUUCAGCAAGGCAAGAUCACUCAAAACGGAUGUCGGACGGUAGAGAAAACUGAGAAACACCGGGCUGCAGCGACACCGGAAAAUGGAUGCAGAAACUUGGAAGCUCCGAAAGUCCACCUUCCAAACCGAAUUUAAGGGUCAAAGUGCAGGGCAAAGCCCUGGAUAUUUCCUGAUGCGCCUCGUCGUGAGCUUUCCAAAAAGUCCAAGAACGUCCAAAUCCGAGUUGGUACGCAAAAGAUACGCCCGUUUUACUGAAGACGGGUCAAACCAACCCGAAACUAAAAUUCUACUCGGACUCGGGUCCGAAACUGACUCGAACUCUUUCUCUUUUUUUUUCGUUUUUUUUAUUUCUUUCUUUCCUUUUUUUUUUCUUUCCUUUCUUUUUUUUUCAACUUUCCAAACAACUUGAUCUCUAAACAAAAUUCGAUCUAUGAUGAAACACUUUCCAAAAGCACUCCUUAUAGGACUCGGACUCGAACUCGCGGCUGAAAACUAUUACUUGCCGACUCGAUGUAGAACUCAAAGAGGGACACGGUGUAGGACUCGAAGAGGGACACGGUGGAAGAUAUGGUGGCGGCGGGAGAUUAUGGCGGUGGUGUGGCAGGAAGUUUGGUGGCGGAAGAUUGAUGAAGGAAACCUGCGUCACACGAAGAACAAGAAAACCAAAAGCAAGUUCGAUCUAGUAGAAAAAAUCUGAAAAACGAUCCAAUCUAAUCCAGCAACUCGACACGAUUAAUGCAGCAAAGAUUCAACAAUGCAAAUACUAAAGUGAAAAUUGCAAGGCUCGGAUUGGUUCUAGGACAAGGUAACUAAUUCUAAUUUUUGUUUGGCUUUUACUGGACGAUACGUAAAAACAGAUCUAAACUACGGAUAAACUGGAAAAAUCUCACUGAGCAACCUUAAGCUCUGAUACCACGUGAUGUGGGUGAAGGUGGCCCGAUCUUUCGAUGAGAUUGAUAACUCUCGAUUUGGGUAGCAGGUGACGUUGACGAUCCGACUACGGCCUAGGAGGCAGCGCCUUAGCAAUCGAUACACCAACUCCAGAGGGUUAUUGAUCACGCGGGGGCACGAUCAACCUGACCACGAAGGUCUUUGUUCCUGCAAGCAAUCGAAGAACAAGUAAGAACAAGAUAAAUAGCAGAUGCAAUCUAAAAUUGCAAAUAUAUUAUAUCAAACCAAUGUCUCAACGAGACGAUAAGUUGGAAUCUUGACGACGGUAAAACAGGUGUCUAACCGACACACGCGAUUACACGAAAGUAGCAAAGAUGGCUAAACUUUAUCUAAUCAAAACCCAAGGCUCCUUAGGGGCGCUCAUGGGGUAUAUAAAGGAGGAGGGAGAGAUAUUUUCGUCCACCUUGAGUAAGGAGGCCGAAAUCCAACUCUAUCUCUAAGUUUCCUAACAAACUACAACUCUUUAGGAAACAGAAAAACAGAUCCGUCAGCUUGUUUUGUCCGUCACGGUCAGCACGAGUCGAAUCUCUUGAUUGGGCCAGAUCCGUUGGAAAGGUCUUGUAAUUACCUUUCCAACAAGUACUUGUUUGCUUAUUUUGGACUCCGGAUGCGGCCUGGGUGAUUAAAACAAAUUCGGGUCUCCUGGCAGCUCGGACCCGAAUCGGAUUCAACUUUAAUUCGUGAUAUCUUUCUCUAGCAAGCUCCAAAUCAUGUGCCGUUUGAUUUGUUGGAAAGUACACUUGAAAUCCUUCCUGUCAGCUGUAUGAAUGCUUGAUUCUUGUUGGCCCUCCCGUUCGCCUCCAUCGUAUCUCAUCUUGACAUUGGACAUGAAAAGCUCGACAAGAUGCCUACGUAAUAAAACGAGACAAGAUAGUAGUAGCUCCGCCUCUUCAUAAAUAUGACAAUGAAAACAAUUACUACCUGAAUUCACCUGAUUAUAAAUCUUGUCAAAUAUUAUAAAAUUGAGGGUACCAAAAGUCGUAUCCAUGGUUAGCAUGUCCAUAUCAAAUAGGAGGGGAACUAGGCGGUUUUCGGCCAGACCCUUGAGGGACUCUGAAACGGCCUAGGAAUCCUCCUAAAACACAACGAAAACAUCUAAAAAUUGGCUGGACCCUAUUACAUGGCCUUAGGCCCAAUAAAGUAAGGUUAUAACCCUCAUCUUUGGCCCAUAGAUACCCAUUGGAGGGGGAAUCCUCCACUUGGCCGAAAUCCCAUUGAUGAAGAGGAUGCGGCCUUCUUCUCAUCUCUCGUUAUGGCGAUUUCAAUGUUCUGAAAUCAUCACUUGAGCUAGCUCCCGCCACCUUGCUGCCACCUCCAUGGUUUGCUGUCCAACCCUGAUCCUUGAGGUGCAAGCUAGGUCCUUCAUUUCUAAAACACAUAAAAGAACCCAUCUUAGGCAGCAGCAUAUUCUCAUGAAUAUUAAAUGAAGUACUGAGGAACGAAAGUACCUGAUAAUUUAGUUGUCGUGCACGAGCUCUAAUAAUUGGUCCAUGUAUCUCCGGUACUUGAGGUGUAGGUGCUGUAGGGGCUGUGGUUGUAUCAUUAGUUGGGAUGUCCUCAUCAAUACGCAAGUCAUCCGCGAACAUUAGAAUGGAUGGGGGCUAAGCAGGGCCCAAGAAUAACAUAUGGAGUACUUUAACCACAAAAUCUUGUUGAUUCCAAGCAAAUAACAAAUGUACUCCCUCCGUCCAACAAAAGAUGUCUCAAAUUUGUUAAAAUUUGGAUGUAUCUAGACAUGACUUGGUGUAUAGAUGGAUUUAAAUUUAGUCAAAGUUUAGACAUCCUUUGUUGGACGGAAGAAUAAUAAUUUCAAGUGUAAAAAAAUCACAUUAUUCAUUCCUUUAAUGUGCUUGUAAAUUUUCACCGAAAAUAAAGUAAUUUGAUGCCGAACGGAAAAUUCACAUAGAGAAACAAACAACAGCUUAACGAGCCACGGGGCUGAGUAGCACGCUUGAGGGACAAAGGCAAAGCAAAUGGUGCAAACAUGAGGCGGACCGGAGAAGAGCAACAUAGGAUCGUGCAUGAGCGGGGCUGGCCACCAGCAUGGCUACCGGCAAGAGUAUCUCCAGCCGCGUCCCCUAAAGGCCCCCUAAACUAGUUACGGGGGCACCGGCGUAAAAAACCUGACCCAGUCCGCUCUCCCAAAAUAAAAAAGUAGCCGGCCUGAUGCAUCAAUUUAGCCGGCGCCCUCAAUCCACUCCCUUCUCACAGGGGGCUAGCGGGGGCGCCGGCUGAAGCUGACAAGUAGGGCAUGCCACCACUAUCAGUGAGACAAACUAAAUUUGGGGGAGCGAUGUUUGAGGGUGUGGCUGGGUGCCGGUUCCACCCCAAACAAAUUGUUGCGCUGGCGCCUUCCCAUAUGACCAUGCGCCAGAUGAAAUAUAGGGGGCCGGAUGAAAUAUUCUCUGAGAGGCUGAAGGUGAGAUUUAAUUUGGUUUAUUCUUUAUUGUUUACCUGGUGUGUGGACCUGUGGUGUGAGUUGGAUCUUCAUGUGCACAGACGUAUACCACCGUGGCAAAUGAAGCAUCACCAUCACAAGUGAGGAAGCCGAAGCGCAUCAAUUUCGAAAAAGAAGAGCGCCCUCAAACUCUCCAAACACCCGUCUUCCUCAACCUAUAACUGUCAGUCGGCUAGAAAAUCCUACAAUCAUAUCCAUGCCUGUUCCUUGUGCAUACGACAACGACAACAAGGAGAAGGAGAAUAUGGAUGAUGGUUGACCUAAGAUUGUUGGGUUGCUGACAGCAAGGUUUCAUCUCUGUCUUUUCACCACCUCCCGAGCCACUGAUGCAUUCACAAGACCGAGGAAAAGAGGUGGAGGGUGAAACAUCUCCGGCGGUGGCCUAUUAAGAUUGCAAAAAUGUUAAGGUCCUGAAGUCCAAUUUGACUUCCUCACAUGCUCUGUGUAGGCUCCAUUUGCAAGCAUAGCAUAGGACACCACGGUGGCUAAAAUCGUUCGGUGUGAACCAAGAAGCCAAUUAGGUGCAUUUUCUUUCUAAUUUUGAGAGUGAAUUCCAGUUUUUACCUCCCAUUUUUACUUUUUGUGUCAGAAGUGUGCUUAAAUGAAGUAAGUUUGUAAUCCGUCCGUCCCAUAUUAAUGUCUCAACAUUGUCUAGACAUGCAUGUGAUAUGGACAUGACUACCUUGGGUACGACCGAAUUUACUGCACGCAGAUAUAUUUCUUAGGUGGUUUUUAUUAAUAAUUAUAUAAUAUGUUAUUAUUGUAUCAGGAACAAAAAUACGACACCUCCGGUUUUCAUAUGCAGGAUCACCGAAGACCUAUACAAGCCGCCUGUUAAAAUAGGAAGAACAGUCUACCAUACAUGUGAACUUGUAUGCGUACACAUAUGCUGAAGUGGUUCAAAUCAAAAGGAAGUCAUGGGCACGUCCAAGAUCAAUUAGUGGGCCACAGGCCCAUGAGUGUUGCAGGCCACACACAAUGCAUGUAGGGAUGCAAACGGGAUCCCGCGAAAGUCCCUCUUCUAGUUCAUUUUUCAAAUCUUCUAUUCAAAGUUUUGCUCAAAAUUUGAAUAGGCGAUUUGAGAAUUGCACUAGAAGUGAGCCUUUCGCGGGAUCCCGUUUGCAUCCCUAUGCAUAUGUAUAAAUUUUUAGUCCAUCACGUCGUCACGAGGAAAGGCCCAGCUCCAUCUUCAAACAGCCAAGACUUCCAACGGCGUUCGUCUCUGUGGUUGUCUAAUAAAUUGAGGUUGCGCGCUUAGGGUUUGACUGGGUUUUGUUGAAUUGUUUAGCUUUGCUACAAUAUACAGCUGCGAGAUGUGUAGGUUUAGUCCAUCACGUCGUCACGAGGAAAGGCCCAACUCCAUCUUCAAACAGCUAAGACUUCCAACGGCGUUCGUCUCUGUGGUUGCCUAAUAAAUUGAGGUUGCGCGUUUAGGGUUUGACUGGGUUUUGUUGAAUUGUUUAGCUUUGCUACAAUAUACAGCUGCGAGAUGUGUAGAUUUACCGUCUUGUUCAGAUCAUCAGUGGAACCCCCACUUAUCGUGCCUAUAUUAUCAUCUGCAAUUUCAGAUUGCAAUUUAUCAUAGUUGCUGGUUCUUCGAUUGUCUGCAGGAACUCGAACCUGGUUGUUCAGGUUGAUCGUGCCUACGGCAAGCUCCAUAACCAUCAUGCAUUUUUACGGUACCCAGUACUCCUUAUUGAGAGGAAGGAGUACCAUUCAUCUGACCAUCCAUGUAAAAGGGUAGUUCAGUCUUUUCAUUUUACUCUUGAGGUUAUCCAUCUAAUUUCCAAUCAAUUGUUAAUUGAAAAACUCUUUGUCUCGAUCAAACGCAUGUCGCCGCCGCCGGCGCACUUGCCCUGGUCGUCUCCAUCAAGGGCGUGUUGCGCGCGUCUGCAUCCUCCUCCUCGUCCCCUGUGCCGCCGCUGUCUUCCAAAUCACGAGCGACUGCGUCAUCCUCUCCAUAAAUCUUUCUGUACACGCCGCAUCCCCCUUGUAUCCCAUACUGCAGCCGCUGCUGCAUCCCCAUUAUUUCCAUUGUUUGAUUGAAUUACUACUAGUCGGUGGACCUCCAGCAAGGAAUUUGAGAUGUAAAUUAAAAGUUCUUCCAUGCAUUUAAAUUUGCGAUUUAAUUCUUCUGAACCAGUUCUUGUAAUCAUGUAUCACCGAGUUGUUCCUAAUUCUCAGCCAUCUAUGCUGACACGAGCUCUCCUGGCCUCCGCGCCGGUGGCCGCAAGGGCCUGGGGCCAGGCCACCAAACUUAGAUGUUUACUCCUUCCGGGCGAUCCGGCAAGGAGACGCCAUGCCUGCAAAGUAAACAUAGGGUUUCAGACAAUUUGAGAUGGAACUAUAUGUUCCUCUCAGAUCAUCGGACUUAUAUGUGAACAAAACAAAAUUGCCAUAGUGUCUCCAUAUAUUGUUAUUUAGAUGACUUCUUUUUAAGAUAUUCGGAUUACCAUUUUACCCCUAUACUCAUGCUACUCCUCAGUUUUUUUAGGUACUCCCUAUACUUUCAUUGGAGUACCGUUCAAUAGCAUCAGUCGGAUCGAGGCAGAUGAAUGGCUCCUAUUUAUUUCGGGGCACCGUAAAAGAGCUUUAACCAUCGGAGAUUGGUUUAGCGAUUGCUUGAGUGUAUCGUCGAGUACGGUAUAGUCGGAUCAUCAAGGUCAAAAUCCACCAAAUCAAUAUUUAUCCCCACUCUCAUUGAAAGAUCGGGCCACCGGCACAUCAAGUAUCAAAGCUAAAAUUGAUUGGUGAGAGAUUUACAGUUUUGAUAUAUCAGAUUUUUUUUAUUACCUAUAGUCCAACAAAAAGCCUACAAAAAAAAUAGUAGAUUGGUUCAUCCGUUUCACCUACCUUUCUUUAGCCGUAGCAAUCUUUUGCAUCUAGUCUUUGGUUGGUUGAAUUUUUGUUGCAUUCAUCCUAGAAUGGUGCUGGUUUAGAUUGGUAUGAGAGAAUAACCGUCUACUAGAUCACUUUUUUUUUAUUUCCUAUAAUCUCGACCACCUCACGCCAUGAUAUUGUCGCACCAGUGGCCCACGAGGUCCCACUGAUGCCGGACGCAUGGGUCGCAGCCGCAGAAUCCCCACAAGGAUGGCUCCCCGUGAAAGGCAAACCCGGGAAGCCUCUCAUCCCCGAGACGACAGUCAAGGGGGUUACCGAAAGACGCUCACUGGCAAGACCAUUGGAUUAGAGAUCGAAAUCUCUGACACCAUUGACGACGUCAAGGCCAAGAUCAGGAUAAGCAGAACAUCCACCCCAACGGCUACCCGGGAGGCGUUAUUCCGGCAAGCUGGCAGCACGAUGCCCCCACAGCUGGCCAGGCAACGAUACUGGGGUGCUUCCGGACUACUAGAGCUUGGGCCCGCAGGUGGGGCCAACGGAACAGUGAAGACAGCAACGACAGUGCAUUUAAUGCACCGACAGGAGUCACAUCGGCAAGGCUAGUCUUGCUCAGCAAGUCUAGAGCGGCUACCGUAAGGCUCAUUUUAUUUACCACGUACAGUGGCCUGGGCGCUGCAUGAAGCCCAGCGAGGAUCAACAGUAGGGUAAUUCUUGUGGCGAUGACACGCGUGUAGUUAACGUGCAUGUCACGUUGCAUGCAUCGGCACCUGUGGUAUCCCCUUGGCUAUAAAAGGAGAACCAAUGCCACCGGUUGAAGGGUUCAAGUUCUAAUUGGAGCAUAAGGUAGUUCAGCAUCCGUCCAAGUAGCAAAAUCCCUUAGGGGGACAAGUAGCAAAGCCCGGGAACCCUCUCGGGAACCUGUACACGCUCAAACUUGUGAAUACAACCAAAAGCAGAACCUAGGGUGUUACACCUCCGGGUGGCCCGAACCUGGGUAAACUCACGUGCCGCCACUUCAUGUCUUUCGUCACGCGGACGAUCGCCGGAGCGAUCCCCUCGACCUCCACUGAACCAAAAAGGGGGUGUCCAACAUCCCCAGUGCCGGAGUUUCGUGCUCCGACAUCUGGCGCGCCAGGUAGGGGGGGCGUGCAGAGAACUCCGCGUGACCGCCGGCAUCAUCAUCUUCGUCAUCGUCUUCAUCAGCUCACCAUGCCGCCCAAGAAGGCAGACAAGCCUAGGUCGACUUGCGUGAUACACUCGCUAUGCGCACUCGGUCCCACGACGCCGCCAGGGCGUCUCGAGAUCACCGGGACUAAGGGUCUCCCCAGCAGCAGCCGCUGCUGCCCCCGCGAGGCCCUCGUGCGUAGACAAACAACCGCCUGAGGGGGCCUGCGGCGCCUAGCGACGGAGAUAGCCGCCCAGGCGACGCGCACGUGCCAGCCAGCGAGGUCGCUCGCAGGCUGAAGAUGAGCGACAACAGUCGCGUCACGAACAAAGCGUGUCUACCUCAAAUGGACACGUUCCGGAUCAGAGUUUAGCACCGACUCUAGAUUUCCCAAAUUGUUCGUCCUAGUGAGGGACCAUGCCUAGCGAGUCCGUAUAAGUGGUCUAGACUUGUUUCGCUUCUAUGAGUAGCUUUCUUUGGCCUGCUCAUCUUAUAACGCCAAACAGACCGAUUUGGCCGAAUUGUCCGUCCUAGUGAGGGACCAUGCCUAGCGAGUCUGUAACAGUGGUCUAGUCUUGUUUCGCUUCGAUGAGUAGCUUCGUUUGGUGUGCUCAUCCUAGUACCUGAAAUGGCACGUUCCGGAUCAAAGUUUAGCACCGACUCCGAUUUGGCCAGAUUGUCCGUCCUUGUGAGGGACCAUGCCUAGCGAGUCCCUACAAGUGCUCUAGUCUUGUUUUGAUUCGAUGAGUAGCUUUCUUUGGUGUGCUCAUCUUAUAACACCAAACGGACCCGUUCCGGAUCAAAGUUUAGCACCGACUACGAUUUGGCCGAAUUGUCCGUCCUAGUGAGGGACCAUGCCUAGCGAGGCCGUGAAGUGGUCUAGUCUUGUUUCGCUUCGAUGAAUAGCUUUGUUUGGUGUGCUCAUCCUUGUACCUCAAAUGGACACGUUCCGGAUCACAGAUUAGCACCGACUCUAAUUUGCCCGAAUUGUCCGUACUAGUGAGGGACCUUGCCUAGCGAGUCCGUAUAAGUGGUCUAGUCUUGUUUCGGUUCUAUGAGUAGCGUUUUUUGGUGUGCUCAUCCUAGUACCUCAAAUGGACACAUUGCGGACCAAAGUGUUUGCACUGACUCUAAUUUGGCCGAAUUGUCCGUCUUAGUGAGGGACCAUGCCUAGCGAGGCCGUGAAGUGGUCUAGUCUUGUUUCGCUUCGAUGAGUAGCUUUGUUUGGUGUGCUCAUCCUUGUACCGCAAAUGGACACGUUCCGGAUCACAGUUUAGCACCGACUCUAAUUUGCCUGAAUUGUCCGUACUAGUGAGGGACCUUGCCUAGCGAGUCCGUAUAAGUGGUCUAGUCUUGUUUCGGUUCUAUGAGUAGCGUUUUUUGGUGUGCUCAUCCUAAUACCUCAAAUGGACACAUUGCGGACCAAAGUGUUUGCACCGACUCUAAUUUGGCCGAAUUGUCCGUCCUAGUGAGGGACCAUGCCUAGCGAGGCCGUACAAGUGGUCUAGUCUUGUUUCAGUUCGAUGAGUAGCUUUGUUUGGUAUGCUCAUCCUAGUACCUCAAAUGGACACGUUCUUGAUCAGAGUUUAGCACCGACUCUGAUUUGCCCGAAUUGUCCGUACUAGUGAGGGCCUUGCCUAGCGAGUCCGUAUAAGUGGUUGAUAGCCUCGAGGGUGUCCCGAUCUUUCGAUGAGAUACCUAAUUAACGGUUUGGUAGGAGGUGACGUUGACGAUCCGACUACAACUUAGGAGGCAGUGCCUUAGCGAUCGAUAGACCAACUCCAGAAGGUUAUUGAUCCCGCGGGGGCACGAUCAACCUGACCAUGAAGGUCUUUGUUCCUGCAAGCAAUCGAAGAACAAGCAAGAACAAGAUGAAAAGCAAUCUGAAAUUGCGAAUACGAGAUAUGAAGGUUCACGAAUCUGAAUAUUCAAUAUAGUUGGAGUCUUGAUGACGGUAAAACAGGUGGUCUAACCGACACACGCGAUUACACGAAAGUAGCAAAGGCUAAACUUUAUCUAAUCAAAACCCAAGGCUCCAUAGGAGGGCUCAUGGGGUAUAAACAGGAGGGGAACUAGGUGGUUUUCAGACAGGCCCUUGAGGGACUUCGAAACGGCCUAGGAAUCCUCGUAAAACACAACGAAAACAUCUAAAAAUUGGCUGGACCCUAUUACAUGGCCUUAGGCCCAAUAAAGCAAGGUUAUAACCCUCAUCUUUGGCCCAUAGAUACCCAUUGGAGGGGGAAUCCUCUACUUGGCCGAAAUCCCAUUGAUAAAGAGGAUGCGGCCUUCUUCUCAUAUCUCGUUAUGGCGGUUUCAAUGUUCUGAAAUCAUCACUUGAGCUAGCUCCCGCCACCUUGCUACCACCUCCGUGGUUUGCUGUCCAACGCUGAUCCUUGAGGUGCAAGCUAGGUCCUUCAUUCCUAAAACACAUAAAAGAACCCAUCUUAGGCAGUAGCAUAUUCUCAUUAAUAUUAAAUGAAGUACCGAGGAACGAAAGUACCUGAUAAUUUAGUUGUCGUGCACGAGCUCUAGUAAUUGGUCCAUGUAUCUCUGGUACUUGAGGUGUAGGUGCUGUAGGGGCUGUGGUUGUAUCAUUAGUUGGGAUGUCCUCAUCAUCCUCCCCUUCUUGAAUCGAAGUCGUCCUCGACGGUAGUUCAUCUUCUUCUCCCAAAUAAGGCUUCAAAUCUGCAAUAUUAAACGUGGGACUAACCCCAAAAUCUGCAGGUAGCUCAAGUUUAUAUGCAUCAUCAUUAAUUUUUGCUAACACCUUAAAGGGACCACCAGCUCGUGGCAUUAACUUAGACUUGCGCAAAUCAGGGAAGCGAUCUUUGCGCAAAUGCAACCAAACAAGAUCUCCAGGUUCAAACAGAAUUUGUUUUCUGCCCCUAUCUCCCGCAAGUUUAUACUUAGAAUUCAUGCACUCAAUGUUCUCUUUAGUCAUCUCAUGCAUUUUUAUUAUAAGUUCAGCACGUUCCUUAGCAUCAAAGUUAACUUUUUCAGAAGUUGGCAAAGGUAACAAAUCAAUUGGUGCACGAGGUAUAAAACCAUAAACAAUUUCAAAAGGGCACAAUUUUGUGGUUGAAUGCAGUGAACGAUUAUAAGCAAAUUCAAUAUGAGGUAAACAUUUUUCCCACAUUUUCAAGUUCUUCUUUAAAACAGCCCUAAGCAUAGUAGAUAAUGUUCUAUUAACAACUUCAGUUUGUCCAUCUGUUUGGGGAUGACAUGUAGUACUAAAAAGCAAUUUAGUCCCCAACUUAGCCCAUAAACAUCUCCAAAAGUGGCUAAGAAAUUUUGUGUCACGGUCUGAAACUAUAGUAUUGGGCACACCAUGCAAGCGAACAAUUUCACGAAAGAAUAAAUCAGCAACAUUUGUAGCAUCAUCGCUCUUAUGACAAGGUAUAAAAUGUGCCAUCUUAGAAAAUCUAUCAACAACAACAAAUAUGCUAUCCCUCCCCUUCUUAGUUCGAGGCAAUCCCAAAACAAAAUCCAUUGAUAUAUCUUCCCAAGGAACAUUAGGAACAGGGAGAGGCAUAUAUAAACCAUGAGUAUUGAGUCGUGACUUAACUUUUUGACAUGUAGUGCAGCGAGCGAUAAAUCUCUCAACAUCCCGUCUCAUCCGAGGCCAAAAGAAAUGAUCAGCGAGCACAUCUUCGGUCUUCUUCACGCCAAAGUGACCCAUCAACCCUCCUCCAUGUGCCUCCUGUAACAACAAAAGACGAACGAAGCUAUCUGGGAUGCAUAGCUUGUUAGCACGGAACACAAAUCCAUCAUUAAUGACGAACUUGUUCCAUGUUCUGCCCUCUUUACAAUGCUGCAAAACAUCCUUAAAAUCUGCAUCAUGCUCAUAUUGUUCUUUUAUAGUCUCCAAUCCAAAUAUCCAAAAAUCAAGCUGAGAUAACAAGGUAUAACGACGUGAUAACGCAUCAGCAAUAACAUUAUCUUUACCCUUCUUAUGUUUAAUAACAUACGGAAAAGACUCAAUAAAUUCAACCCAUUUAGCAUGACGACGGUUCAGCUUUGCUUGACUACGAAUAUGCUUCAAAGAUUCAUGAUCAGAAUGUAUAACAAAUUCUUUGGGCCAUAAAUAAUGUUGCCAUGUUUCUAAAGUCCGAACGAGAGCAUAUAAUUCCUUAUCAUAAGUAGAAUAAUUCAGACUAGGCCCACUCAAUUUUUCACUAAAGUAUGCAACAGGUUUUCCGUCUUGUAACAACACACCUCCUAAACCGAUUCCACUAGCAUCACACUCCAACUCAAAAGUCUUAUUAAAAUCAGGAAGUUGGAGUAAAGGAGCAUGUGUCAACUUAUCUUUCAAUAUGAGAAAAGCUUCUUCUUGUGCAACGCCCCAUACAUAUGGAACGUCCUUCUUUGUGAGCUCAUUAAGCGGUGCAGCAAGGGUGCUGAAAUCCUUUACAGAGCGGCGAUAAAACCCAGCGAGUCCAAGAAAGCUCCUCACUUGGGUGACCAUUGUUGGAGUUGGCCAGCUUUGAAUAGCGUCGAUCUUGGCCUUAUCAACUUCUAUGCCCUGUGGAGUGACAACAUAGCCAAGAAACGAAACUCGAUCGGUGCAAAAGGUGCACUUCUCAAGGUUACCAAACAAACGUGCAUCUCUCAAAGCAUCAAAAACAGCACGUAAAUGAUUCAAGUGGUCUUCUAAAGAGCUGCUGUAAAUCAAUAUAUCAUCAAAAUAAACCACCACAAGUCAUCCUAUGAAAGCACGUAAAACUUUGUUCAUUAACCGCAUGAAAGUGCUAGGUGCGUUAGUAAGACCGAAAGGCAUGACUAACCACUCAUAUAGUCCAAACUUAGUUUUAAAUGCUGUUUUCCAUUCAUCGCCUAAUUUCAUUCGAAUUUGGUGGUAACCACUACGUAAAUCAACUUUAGAGAACACGGUAGAGCCACUUAAUUCAUCUAACAUAUCAUCAAGUCUAGGAAUUGGGUGACGAUAGUGAAUAGUAAUGUUAUUAAUAGCUCUACAAUCUACACACAUACGCCAAGAACCAUCUUUCUUUGGUACCGAUCUUUCGAUGAGAUACCUAAUUAUCGAUUUGGUAGGAGGUGACGUUGACGAUCCGACUACAACCUAGGAGGCAGCGCCUUAGCGAUCGAUACACCAACUCCAGAAGGUUAUUGAUCCCGCGGGGGCACGAUCAACCUAACCACGAAGGUCUUUAUUCCUGCAAGCAAUCGAAGAACAAGAUGAAAAGCAAUCUGAAAUUGCGAAUAGGAGAUAUGAAGGUUCACGAAUCUGAAUACUCAAUAUAGUUGGAGUCUUGAUGACGGUAAAACAGGUGGUGUAACCGACACACGCGAUUACACGAAAGUAGCAAAGGCUAAACUUCAUCUAAUCAAAACCCAAGGCUCCAUGGGGGGGCUCAUGGGGUAUAAAUAGGAGGGGAACUUGGUGGUUUUCGGAUAGGCCCUUGAGGGACUCCGAAUCGGCCUAGGAAUCCUCCUAAAACACAACGAAAACAUCUAAAAAUUGGCUGGACCCUAUUACAUGGCCUUAGGCCCAAUAAAGCAAG